Molecule: long non-coding RNA, 65126 nt
Filed under: Sorghum bicolor (sorghum)
Lineage: Eukaryota; Viridiplantae; Streptophyta; Magnoliopsida; Poales; Poaceae
Description: long non-coding RNA (SBIC_LNC005054)
Rfam family: Plant small nucleolar RNA R71 (bases 53754-53861)
Source: RNAcentral
AGGUAUUAGCGUACCUUUAAUAUUUGUCUUUUGAAUAAUCGUGGUCUUGUUGCGUAUGAUGUUUAUAUUUUCAAAUUUUAAUAACUAAGGAGCAGCUGAAGAAUCUAGCAGAAUGUAGUGCGGAGAAAGGAGGCGACUACUAGACAUUCGACAAAGGGAGAAAGGACCGAGAUAUUUUUGUGCCUGAGCAUACCAAGACUAUUCUAUUACUCGUCCUAUUCGGCCGGAGGGAAGAUUUUCAAAUAAAUAAGAGUUACUCAAUAAAUAAUACCAAUUUACUGCAGAGGCUCUUGAUUGGUCGACGAACAAAAUAUACCGUUGUUAUCUGUUUCCUGUUUUGUGUGUGUAUGUCUCUCCGUAUAUUGUGUAAUGUAACCUACGUUCCCUAGCUCUACUCUUUGUGGAUCAUCCCGAAUUUCAUAGUACUUUGUAAGCAAUGAAUAGCUCAGCAGUUUCCAGUGACAGCAUUAUGGCGCUACGCACCCGUAGGAAAACUAACACCACCAAAUAACUAACGAUCUAUGGCUCCCUGUAGAACCGAAAUCAUUUCACAGGAAAGAAGAUAUUUUCCUCUAUUCCAAUGGUGAUAUAAAAAUGCCAGCUCAGAAAGUUGAAGAGCACUCUUCCUAUUUGGGUUCGAGGUUAGCGCUGAUCUUCAGUGCCUUACCCUAGGGCUCGUUGAGGUCAAUCGGGACGAGAUUGGUCUCCUCAGCCGACUCGAAACUACCGAUGUGACACUUGGGGACAGGAACCUCCUUAGAGAGCCAUUCCAGGUCGGUGGCAAGGACCUUGGUCUCGACGAGCGCUAGGCAGUGCUGGUGUGAUGUGCCGACGGUGAUGAUGAUGUCGUUGGGGCCUGACAUCUUGAGCUUGAAGUAGGUAUAGUUGGGGACUGCUAUGAACUUGGUGUAGCACUGCUGCCCUAGGAUGGCGUGGUAGGUUCCUCGAAACCCGACCAUUUCGAAAGUGAUGGUAUCCCUUCUGAAGUUGUUGGGGUCCCAAAGCAGACAGGCAAGUUGAUGUACCCGAGGGGUUAGGCUCGAAACCCGUGUACGACACCAUGGAAUGGCGCCACAUGAGCUCAGAGUCGAGAAGUACUGAUCCCUAGGAGGUCUAGAGUCUUGGCAUACAGGCUGUUGAGGCUGCUGCUUCCGUCCAUCAGCACUUUGAUGAGCCGGGUGUCGGCGAUGACGGGAUCGAUGAUGAGAGGGUAGUGCCCAAGGCUCAGGAUAUGAUCUGGGUGGUCACUGCGAUCAAACGUGAUAGCCUCCUCGGACCACUUGGAGGGUUUUGCAGAGAGAAGAAGCACCAGAUGAUGGUGCACUCCUUGAGGGUGUGCUUUGCGGGGCCCUUAUGGUAAGGGCAUGGCUUCUUCAGCAUCUCAUCAAAGACCCUCGGCCCCCCUAGAGGGUCUUUAGGGAUCCUGCAUGUAGCAGCGGCGAUGAGCGUGUCCACCUGGCGCUCUUGUUUUCCCUAGUGAUCCUUCUUCUUCUUGAGGUCUUGGGAGGCUGAGGCCUCGGUGACAUCGUCCUCCCAUUCCCCUUGCAUUCGACGUUAGGGAAGAUGGCCCCAACUGCCUCUUUGCCAGAGCUCGCUUGUGCAGGAACUCGCUUUUGCUGGUGGGGUUCUUGCACCCGAGCUCAUGCACCAAUGCCAUGUAGGUGGUGCUGGCGAUGAACGCCCCCAAUGACAUAUGAAUCAGUGACAUUGGAGAGCUUGGUGCACUAUAUGGAAAAGUGCCUCAUGAAGUCAUGGAGAGACUUGUCAGGCUUCUAUCGGUAGCUCCUAAGAUCCCAAGAGUUGUUGGGGCACAUGUAUCUACCAUGAAAGUUCCCCAUGAAAGCCUUAACUUGGUCACCCUAGUUGUUGAUCUUCCGUGCGAGAAGGUGUUCUAGCUAAGCUCUGAUAGAGUUAGCCAAGAAUAGGGGGAGGCUAUGGAGGAUGAGCAGGUCAUCGUCCGCACCGCAUAGCGGAGAAGCCAAGCGGUAGUCAGCGAGCCAGAGACCCAGGUUUGUUUCCCUAGAAUACUUAGUGAUGUUGGCCGGUUGGUAGAACUAGGCUAGGAACUAGGCUCUCUGGAUGGCCUCAAUAAAGACGCAGGACCCAGAAGCUCAAGUGAGGGAAUGUGAUCCUCCUAGCCAUGGGAGUCGCUAAUGUCUCUACCACGUUGUCGCGCAUCGAGGAUAGCACAAGCAUCGAUGUUCUUACCAAGGGGUCCUGCUAAUGGAUUAUGAGGACGCUACGCUAGCUAGAAAGCAACAAAUUUGACCUCAUAAACCAUGAUCAACUGCUAGCUAUAGAUCAUGGGAUUACCACUAGACGUGUAGGUGCAGCGGAAGUGACUCAGUGUAGUCGUGCGUGUAGUAGCAAUGCCAUGUAAUUGCGUGGUCGUCCACCACUUCAAGCCCUCUCGCGUGGUUCGUUCUUGUGCUCUAGAUGCAGCACAUCCGAGGUAUCCCACAUGUACAGGGAAUAAGCAUCACACCUCUGGAUUGCUAGGUCCACGAGGAGCAAUAGUCGUGAGCGUGGGUGAGCAGUGAUGGUUGCCUAAUGGCAUGAGAAACCCUGGACACCCCUACCCUCUCUUUUAUAGACGUCCUCUAAUCAGCCCCGAGUUGGAGGCCCAAUUAGAAAACCCUAAGCCUUGUCUAAUUCAGGUCCAAACUAAUACAUGUGCUAAUCUAAUAUUCAUGUGUUGCCACACACGAACUCUGAUCAGGGACAACAUAGAAUAACCAUACAAGUAAAAGAGUUUCACAAACAAUUCACAUAAUUGUCAAUCGAUACAAGUUUGUCUACAAUGGAUAUUUAUCAAACUCAUAAUAUUUGUCAUGGAUACAAUCGUAAUAUCAUCAUCUCUAUGAUUACCUCUAGGGCAUAUUCCCAGCACCUUCACCGUCUUGCCCUUGUUUCACUCUUGAGGACUCGUGGGCUCAGGAUGGACUCAUGCUUCCCUUUCAUCUCAAGGGCAUGUUGUAGGUUGCUCGGUAUUUGACUCAUGAUGUUGUGACAUGGAGCUCUCCAUCGGCUGCACUAUCGCACACUCUAGGAGGCCAUGAAACUUGUCACGGACAUGCCUUCCCACUAGUGUAGGUGGCUCGGGCAUUGUCCACAGGAGAAUGGUUGCUGCCGCCAUGUUUGAUGGGAAGGGGUUUUUUGCCUCCCUUGUCCUCAAUGUUGUGCCAAUUGAUGUCAUGGGCUAAUCAUCGGGCUAUUCCUCUAUCCACGUGGGUUGUCUACUCAUGCUCAGGGGUUGCAUGUAGUUGCUACAAAGGUUUGUAGUCCUCAUCAAGUUUGGCCUCAAGCUCUUACAGCUGCUCGAACUCUACCCAUCGAGGGCUCUCAGGUGCUGACAUGGCAACCCAAUGCCUUGGGUGCCCGAAAGGUAAAACCUCUUGGGGUAGGGUGCGAUCUCUUGGCCCUACAGUGAUGCUGCCUUUGCCGAUAUGUCUUCAUCUCAUUGUUGAUGCAUUCCUGGGAGGGAUCAUAAUCAUCUUCUCUAGAGUCAGAGUAGCUGAAGGAAUAGUCACCUCCUGCGAUGAAGCGACAUAGAGCCUAUUGACAGGAGAUGACUCCUAAUUUUAACCAUCAAAUAGACAUGAAAGUGGAUUUAUAUGCAAACAUCUAGUAGAUAUAGGGUUAUCACUGAUAGAAUUACACGAUUUUUUGUGAAUGUCUAUUUCUGUAGGGUGUCAGCUGAAAAAAUAACCAAAAAUUGUCCACAUGUUAGGUUUACAUAGAGAGAAUACCUUGAACUUCAACUCAGGAACAAUCCAGAAGGUUCGAGGAGGCUCCAGACCGAACGAGAAGCAGAUCGAACUCAGUAGCCCGGUGGCCGCCCGGGCACCUCGGGCACCCGCCCCACGAGAUCAACCAAUCAGAGUGAACCUUGUGGAUCCUGCCUCUACCAUCUUUGAGGAGUAAUCUUGAGCAUAUCUUUAAGUCGGUUUGAUCCGAGGCCUAUGGUGCCUCCUAGGGGGAUAUAAAUACAAACCUAACCUCCCUAGCUAGUAGCUAAUUCUGAAACCAUAAUUAAUAUUUUCCAAAGAGAAUUAGCCAGAGAGGGUCCCUCGAAUGGAUAUGUCUCUUUAGGGUUUUAGCAACAAGAGAGAUUGAGAGAGUAUAGGGUUGUAACACCCAAAAUUUGAUUUUCAAAUAAUAGGACUUAAUUUGAUUUAUUUGAGUAUUUUUGUGAGCAUGUAAUAUAGUAAAUAAAUAAUUUUUAUUGAAAUUAAAAAUUCACCAUAAAUUUAGAAACAUGGUUGUGCAUUCAUGCUGGAGCAUAUUUUAUGUUUUGCUUGAUUGCUUUUGGUUAGAAAUAAUUUGUGCACAAAAAUUCAAUUUGUGAAAAUGCUUUUUGAAAAAGAAAAUAAAAAGAAAAGGGGGAAGAACCCCAGCCAGCCCAGCCCCCUCCCUGGCCUGCUUGCUACCCCCGCCUCGGCCCAGCGCGCGGCAUAGGAGCCGGCCCAACUCGCGCGCGACUGGGCAGGCGUGCCCCUUCUCUCCCUUGACCCGCUGCCAGUUGGGCCCCGUUCUUCUUUCACAGAUGCGUGGGGUCCACGUGACAGAGCCCUGGUUUCCUUCCUUUCUUCUUCUCGGGACCGAGCAGGACGCACAUGGAAGCCACCAAAUCUGUUUCGACCCCGUUUUCUGCGGGAUUUGAUUUUCCCGAACCCCUUUUUAGCCCUUGGAGAACCCCCGUGACCCUCUCUUCCAUAUACGUGCAUUGGUAGCCAACAUCACAGCUUCCCGUCGCCGUGUUGGAUCUCGCCGAAACAGAAACGAAACCACCGCCGUCGCGGGUCAUCUCUGUGUCUUUUCAGCUCGAGCAAACCAUCCUAGUGAGUUCGAGGUAAGAUCCUCCGCGCGUUGGUAUUCUUAUUUUGGAGUUUGGUGCUUGGAAUCGAGAAACCUGCGAACGCCGGCGAGCUUCGCAGUGGUGGCCAUGGCGCCACCGCACCUGCGCCUGCGCCUGGCCGGCCGCCGGCCACCCCCUUUUCCCUAGCGCGCCCGAUGCCGUCCAACCGAAGAUCGACGGCCAGGAAACAAGGAUACCCCUUUGAGGGGAUUUUUCUUUAAGAGUCCCUGGAUGUUUUAAUAAUUCACCGCGGUCCCUGGCGCCCUGAAGGAAAUACGUAUCCUUGGUUUAAAAGCGUAUUUCUGCGGGUUGAAAAUGAAAUACGUUUUCCAGUAUUUACUGAAUUGCCAUUCACAGUAUUUAGCCCAUAAAAUAUUCGUUUUAACUCCGUUUUUGUCCAUUCAAAUUUUGUUAGAUUCGUAUUUACGAGCUCUACAAGUUAGAACUAUUUAUUCUCUGUUUUGAAACUUUUUAAUUCUGCAGUAGCAUUUAAUUAAUUAUAUUUCUCUAUAGGAAAUCUUAGAAAAUUGAUAUCUUCCCCGUUUUAAUUCCGAUUUUCGUGAACUUUACGUUUGUGUGAUCGUAGCGCUGCGUAGAAUAUUUUCAUAAACUUUUAUCUUUGAUUUCUCACUGUUGGUGUAAUGUUCUAAUUAUAUCCUGUUUGCUUUGUGUAACAUUGUCACCAUUGGAUUGCGUGUUGUUGAUUGAUGUUUGGGAAUAGACGGUGAGUCGUACGUUGUUGAUCAAGACCAAGCUUUUGAAGAGCAGCAGGCUCAGGAGAGCUUUGAUCAAGGCAAGUAUAACUUGGGAUCAUCCUUGUUACAUAUUCACUUAUAAAUACACAUAUAUGUCAUAUGCAUGCUAUCACCUUGUCGACCUUAGCAAAAUCAUAGAUGAUUGUUACCUGGAUUCCUUGCUACCUACUUGAUAUGCAUUUGUUGUAGAUGUGCUAGUGCUUGAUAUAAUCCAUGAUCCUGUAAGAUGAUUAAUAGCUAUGCAAUGAACAUAAAAGAAUGACAAAUAACUGUAUGAGAUCUUGUGUGCACGUGAUCACCCGGGAUAACAGUGCAACCAUGAGGGCUAUAAUGGCUCUGGCUUUAGCUCAGUAUGGAGACCUUUUCUAGCUUGUUAGAGGUUACCUGAAAGGGCGGAGGGGCUGAACCGACACGGGUAUAGUGCGAGCCCCUGUCCCUAUGGGUAUAGGCUGCGCGUCAUUGUGCCAUUCGGAAGAGGUUGUAUCUAUAUCUGCUCGCAAAGGAAACCUUGCGGCCAUAACAUGUUAGACGAACUUUCGAAAGGCUUCAUAGUGAUCCCUGCCGACCUUCCUUGGUAGUGGGUUAAGAGGUCGACGGGCCUCGGGCGAAAGGGUAAAUCAUGACUCAUGGGUAAAGAUGUACAACCUCUGCUGAAUGUUAAAACUAGUAUACUAGCCGAGCUCACGGUCAGGAGCGGCCUUGGGGACAUCUACAUUAAGAUGAUGAGCUUAUUAUGUUAUUAUGUUCAUUUGAUUAUCGUUUAUGCUAUGAAUUAAUUAUGCUUACACUUGAUCAUGUGAUUAAUGGAUUAUUUAUGCUACCUUGACAUUUGCUAGUUGCUUAUGAAUAUGCUAUCCACUAUUAAAAGCUAAAUGCAGUCAAACCAGUGUCAGCUAUUUGAGCCUCAUGAACCCCUGGUUAUACUUGUUGAGUACGAUAUGUGCUCACUCUUGCAAUUUCCCAACACCCCAGGUUAUGCUAAUGAUGAUGAUUGGAAUGAGUACUACCGUUAUGAGUACUAGGUUUGGAGUCAACCAGUCAAUAGUGUCCCAGUGUGGAGCUUUCGUUGAGAGCAUUGUUCACUUUAUGCUAUCAUUUUUGUAUGAGACUAUGUGAUAUAUUAUAUUCCGAUAUGCAAUAAACACUGCAAUGGUACAUUUGAGAUUUGUCUGCUUAUGUGUGCGACUGUUUCUGGGGCACAUAUGAGUCUUUUAUGCAUCCUAUUUUGUUCUUAAAAUAUGGGUGUGACAAAUUGGUAUCAAAGCCGACUCUCGUGGUUUCACGGGCGCAUGUGUCGCAGUUGCGUAGGCAUGGUGUGCAUGGCUGGUGUGGACCCAGAGUGGUCACACAGCAUGGCACAUGCGCUGGCACUGGAUGCAUGGACGUGGCCAAGAGGGGACGUUCCUGGCUUGAGGUUGAUCGACGAGGACAUCGAUCUCUUAAGGGUGUGAGGAUGUAACACCCGGCCCAAGGCUUAAUAGAAUUAAUAGGAGACUAUACCAACAAGUUGCAACUUCUUUUCCGGAAGCCCAUCUCGAAAGAACUCUAUAUAUUAAGCGUGUUUGGCCUAGAGCAAUUUAGGGAUGGGUGACUGACCGGGAAGUACUUCCCGGGUGCGCGCGAGUGAGGACAAAGUGUGCAGAAAAGACGAAGUGUUGUUCUGUGGGGACUGACUAUAUUCUAGAAAAGCUGCUAGAUGUAAGCGGGCCCGGCCUCGUGGAGGCGGAACGUUACAGAUUGGUAUUAGAGCUUUGUUGACUGUCGGACGCAAGCCUAGUUAGAAAUGAGUCGUCUUAAGGUUUUGAAAUUGCUACAAAAUCCUUGUUCUAUAAACCUUGAUAUUUUCUCCUAUACUAUAUCCUUUUCAUUGCUAUUCAUCUUCACCUUGUUGCUUAUCUUAAAAGUACUUGUUCUCGUCUUCACUCCUUGAUUUGUUAUGCUUUUAGAACCUUCUCUUACCACCUUCUUAUAUAGUUGAAAGAGAAUUUUAGGAUCUUUGCCCUUAAUAGGAAGAGAACGUUAGUACCGCAAGUUGAGUCAAUGCUUGAAGUGUGAACUUUUGAUGCAUGGUUUGGUUUGUUAUUAUGCUUAUGCUUGAUUUGGAUUUUUGUAAUGAGUGCUGGAACCUUGUGGGCAUAUCCACAAGUUUCCUAGUUAAGAACCUUAAGUAAGAACAUGAAUAAAUAGUGGUUUGGGGGCAUAUCCUGUUCCUGUCCUUUGCUGUUUUCUGAAGCAGUCUGCAAAGAUUCUGGUAUAAAUCAAAUUCUGUUCGCGCAAUGUUCAUCAAAUUUUUCUGGGAACAAGUAGACUUUUAUAUAUUUCCAAUGCCUCAAGAAUUACCAUAUUAUCUAUUAUGAGCUGUUAGUUAUGACUGUUUAAAGUUGAGGUUUCUGCGCAGUCUGGAAUUCUAGAACAGUUUCGGUUGUACCCAGUUUUUAAUUAACCUAACCUUGGAAUCUGUUAAUAUGAUCUAAAUGAAAGUUGUAGACAAUCUCUUUAUCUUUCCAACGCUGUAUAGAAUGUAUCCUUUUGAAUAUUAGAACUCGAGAUAUGACUGAUUUUCUGAACUGCUGAUGUUGGAUGUUACCCAGAAAAUUUCAGAUUCCGUUAACUCUUGUAAUUGUCAUGUUGGACAUUACUAAGAUGUGUUUAUAUACCUUGGAAUGCAGAUAGCAGCAAGGGAAAGAGGCAGAGGCAGAGGCCGUGGCAAUGGCAAUGGUGGCAAUGCCCCAAUCACUGUGGAGGAACUCAUGCAAACCCAAAAUGAGAUGAUGCUCGUUUUCAUGCAGCACCUACAGCAGCAACCUCCACCAACACUACCACCUUUUCAUGUGAGGGAUAAGCGUGGAGAGUUUAUGAAGGGAAGACCUCCGGUAUUUACACACUCAGCUGAUCCCAUAGAGGCAGAUGAUUGGUUAUGUGCUGUGGAGAGGCAACUGAACAUAGCACAGUGCAAUGACUUGGAGAAGGUGUUGUAUGCUUCUGGACAGCUUUAGGGGGCAGCUCAGACAUGGUGGGAGUCAUAUCAAGCUGCUCGUCCCAACAAUGCUCCUCCUGUCACAUGGCUAGAAUUUUGUAGAGACUUCAGAGCUCGACAUACAAAUGAAGGAAUGAUGGAGCUCAAGCAAGAAGAAUUCAGAUCUCCCAGGAUGGACUCCAUGACUGUGGCAGAAGAUCAUGACACAUUUGAACAGCUGGCUCGCUAUGCUCUGAACGAUGUUAGGGAAGAUGCUGAUAAGCAGCGUCUAUUCAUGAAAGGUCUUUACUACGAGCUCAGGCUGCAGUUGGCAGGAAACACCUAUCCUACCUUUCAAGCUCUUGUGAAUCGUGCCAUUGUGCUUGAUAAUAUGCGUAAGGGUCAGGAUAAGAAGAGAAGGAUGCUGGCACAAGGUUCAGGAAGCAACAACCGUCAGAGUUUCAGUUCUCAUCAAGGCUAUCAGCAGAGGUUCUAGGGACCAGUUAGUCAGUGGAACCGCAACCAGCAACCCCAGCGUUUCCAGAAUCAAUCACAGAGUGGGAACCAACAUCCUCCAUUCCAACAACGUAACCAUAAUCAACAGCAGCAUGGUCAGCAGACACCUCGCUCAGGGAACUCAAAUGCCACAUCCAUGAAAAGAAGUGCUUCUAACACUCCUACCAGGUGUUUCCGUUGUGGGAAGGAAGGACAUAUGUCCUAUGAUUGCCUAGAGAAGUUUAAUCCGCAGAACAACGACCGGAGAUCCACUCCUAAUUUAGCAAAGGUGAACAAUGUGGCUGUCGAGGGUAUCAGUAAGGGGUACCCUCACCGAUGCACAUAACAAGAUUACUCGUACGCAAGACGAGGCCCUCAGCUCGACGUUCGGGUCGUACAUAUGCACGGUCAUCGACGGUCGCAGCCUCGAAGAUGGAAGUAGCGUCGAGCGAAUCGAUCAGGGGUCGAGCGCCAGCUACCGUCGAAUACGGAAACAGGCUCGUGCGAACCAGGAAGCGUCGAGCGCAAGGACGCCACCCGCCGCCUGACGCGCGCACGCGAGCCGGGGCAUUAAAUGCGCCUGCCGCUUUCCCACCUAACGCGCUGGUCACGGGAAGCGUGAUAGGGAACAGGCACCCGUCCCGUCAUUCUUUUUGCAGCCUUCCCCACCAAACGACCUAGGGCGUGUCAGGACGCAGGAAACGGGGAUGGAACGUCUAAUCAGGACCCCCUCGAGACAUCCAAGGUCAGCGCUCCGGGUAUCAGAACACUACACGGCGUCUGACCCUCGACCAGACAGGGAUCCAUCCUGGGGACGAGUUGGGCGUCGACUGACAACACCGCAACCACUCUGCCGGAUCUGCCGCCAUAUCGUACAAGCGUGCGACCGGUGAACCAGCCCAAGACGGUGCGCAGAGCGGGAUACAGGGGCACGCGUAAUCAUCAUCAGGCUACCAAGACGGGACGGCUCGAGACCAUGCCGAUACGGAAGCCUCGAGUAGGUCAGCGCUCCAUGCUGCUAUCGACCCCUGUUCUGACACCUACGCAUGUACCCUAGGUCUCUCCUUGGUGCUAUAAAAGGAGGGACUUAGGAAUAGAGCAGACAGGCAACACUACACCCAUACGCAGUAGAACUCUCACACUCCAUACCACCCUUGUAUUCGCCCCUGUACAAGCACUUCGGUGCAAGAUAAUACAAACUUCCCUCCCCCACUGGACGUAGGGCUUUCUCUUGCCCGAACCAGGAUAAAUCUCUGUGUCUUCUUGCAUCACCAUCUGGGAAAGGGAGCACGCAUACAAAUUUACUCGUUGGUGUGACCCCCCGUGGGGAAAACACCGACAGUUGGCGCGCCAGGUAGGGGUCCUGCGUGUUUUUCAUCGAUUUCCCACUCCUUUCCAGAUGGCCACUCUCGCUUCGCCGAUUCCGCGCUCCACGGUGAUUUGGUUUGGGAGUCUUGAGUUCAUGUUGACUGGCUCCGGCUAUGACAUGAUCUUACUCUCGAUCAAAGGACCAGGAGGAGCCCGCAUUGUGCCAGCACGGUUGAGGGCCCCGAGACGCCCUCGCCACCAUGCCUCCCCGCCCAAGAAGAGGCGUGGACAGCAUCAUCGUCGCCCCUCUGCCUCGUCACGACCAGCAGUUCGUGCUAGGCAGGAGGUGACACGAGAGUCGGCAGCCCCGCGUGCCAGAACCGUGGACAUGCCGGUUCAGCGUCACACGACGACAAGAGAUGACGCACCCGCCGCCAGGUUACUUCCACACGGGUUGAUCAGUCCAAGAAGGGCACUGCCAUUCAGAUUGGACAACGCCACGGCGUCGCUCGCCAGAGCGAUAUGCCCAAAUGCCCAGACAUACGUAGAGAGACCAAUGGUUCUCCCGCGUAACUCUGAAGCACAGCAGUCGACGUCCGAGCUGCCAGAUCUCUCCCAUGUGCGAGGCCUCCGUCGCCUAGGCCCUGGGCGAUACACGAUCUCCUCGCUCAGGCAACGGCUAUUGGAGGAGGGACGUGGAUGUUUCUACGCCGCCAAGCCGGACUCCGACUCCGAGACCGAUACCUACGACCCUACUUGGGAAUGCUAUCACAUCGACGGGGCAGUAGAAACUACCGACGAGACAUAGGACGCAGCUGCGGGCGGUCGAGCCCCUGCAGCAAGGGAAGACCCCAGGACGCCUGGGGACGGCGGACAGGUCGACCCACUUCCACAGGAAGACAGGGCCGCGCAGCUUGCGCAGCUACGAGAGCUCAAGACAAAGCUUAACGAAGACCGCGAGCGCCUCGUCCUGCUCGAGCAAAUCCUCGAACAAGACUUGCCUUACCCGCCCGGCGGAAGUGUCCGUAGGCGAGCUCGAGAGGUACACCGGCAAAUCAUCGGAGAUGCGGAGCCAGAGCAACCCGUCAGCCGCUUCCCUCGAGCAGGCCAGAACGUAGUAGCGGCAACAAUGCUGCUACGCAACAUGCCAGAGCCAUCGAACUCCCAAGCUCAAUGCAUUCGAGACGAGGUGCAGACUCUGCUCCAGGUAGCGGCGGUUCAACAAGCCGAAAUCUCAGCUUCUCGACGACGAGGAGCUGCUACUGAAAAGUGUGAUGAGCCGCCCCAAAAUGAAAAGGAGGUGUCAGUCCACCAACAGACACCCCCUCGAGGAAGAAAGACCACUCUCAUCCUCCCUGUCGACAAUCAGCGUCGACACGACGCCCGGCAUGACGUCGAAUAGAAUCGACGCCGUCGGUACGGGGAUGCGGAAGAGCGCAGUUACAGCGCGCAUCGCGGUGGAAGGUAUGACAGCGACGAGGACCGGAUGGCCCCCGAGCCACCAGGCCCACGGGUAUUCAGCAGGGCAAUCCGCAGCACGCCCCUACCCAGUCCAUUCAGACCCCCGACCAGCAUCGCGAAAUAAAAUGGUGAGACCAAACCAGAGUUGUGGCUGGCCGAUUUUAGGCUGGCCUGUCAGCUAGGAGGCACUCAAGGGGAUGAUCGAGCCAUCAUCAGACAGCUACCACUCUUCCUCUCCAACACCACCCGUCGAUGGCUCGAGGAACUUCCAGCAAAUUAGAUCCACGACUGGGUCGAUUUGGUUAAAGUCUUCGAGGGUAAUUUCAAAGGGACCUACAUACGGCCCGGGAACUCAUGGGACCUCAGCAAAUGCAAGCAGAAGUCAGGAGAAACUCUUCGAGAGUAUGCUCAACGCUUCUUGAAGCAGCACACUGAGCUGCCACAUAUCCCCGACCAUGACGUCAUCCUGGCCUUUGUCUCUGGUACCACCAGUCGAGACCUGGUGCGAGAAUUAGGCCGGAAUCGCCCUCAGACCGUCGAUGAGCUAAUGGACGUAGUGGCAAACUACGCAGUUGUGAAGGAAGGAAAGGCAAGCAGCCCGUCGAUGAAGAUGAGACCCCCAGUCGAGGGCUCAAAAAGAACAAGAAGAAGCAGAAAGCGCGGCAGUUCCAACGGGAAGAUUUCGACGACAACCUUAACGCCGCCAUGGAGCGGAAGAAGCCUCGAGGUACUCUAGAUGGAGGUAUCUUCGAUAAGAUGCUAGAGGAACCAUGCCCUUACCAUAAGGGAGGCACCAACCACAAGCUCAAGGACUGUCGUAUGCUGAGAAAGCACUUCGACGGACUAGGGUUCAAAAAGGACACACGUGACGACUCCAAGAUAGAGAAGGGCGGCAACAAGGAGGACAACAAAGAUGACGACGGCUUCCCCGCCGUCCACGACUGCUACAUGAUCUAUGGUGGGCCCUCGACGCAGUUGACCACGAGGCAGCGCAAAAGGGAGCGCCGUGAGGUCUUCGCGGCAAGAAUGGCGAUGCCCCAGUACCUCAGCUGGUCGAGCACUCCCAUCACCUUCGAUCGAGAGGACCACCCCGACAAGGUAGUCACCCCAGGCGUCUACCUGCUCGUCGUCGACCCUAUCAUCGUCAACACCCAGCUCUCAAAGGUGCUGAUGGACGGAGGCAGCAGCCUCAACAUCAUCUACCUCGAGACCCUCGACCUCCUCGGCAUCGAUAGGGGACGUCUCCAGCCAAGUGCCGGCGGAUUCCAUGGCGUCGUGCCAGGAAAAAAGGCGCUGCCAGUGGGUCGAAUCAACCUACCGGUCUGCUUCGGCACGGCGGCCAACUUCACAAAAGAGACCCUCACCUUUGAGGUGGUCGGGUUCUGGGGCACGUACCACGCCAUCAUCGGGCGCCCGGGCUACGCCAAGUUCAUGGCCAUACCCAAUUACACCUACUUGAAGCUGAAGAUGCCCGGUCCCAAAGGCAUCAUUACUGUCAGCUCCUCCUUUGAGCACGCUUACGAGUACGACGUCGAAUGCGUCGAGUAUGGGGAGGCGGUCGAGAACUCCACCGAGCUCGUCGCAAAACUCGAGGCCCUGGCCGCUGAGGCUCCAGAGCCAAAGCGCCACGCGGGCAAAGGAGGACCAAGAAGAUCCCGCUCGACCCCAAUGACUCCGACGGCAAAGGUGCUGACGAUCAGCACCGACCUCGACCCCAAAUAGGAAGUUGUGCUCGUCGACUUUCUCCGUGCGAACGCCGACAUGUUUGCAUGGAGUCCCUCGGACAUGCCAGGCAUACCGAGGGAAGUCGCCGAGCACUCCUUGGAGAUUCGAGCCGGUUCCAAGCCAGUGAAGCAACGGUUGCGCCGAUUCGAUGAGGAGAAGCGCAAGAUCAUUGGUGAGGAGGUCCACAAGCUUUUGACGGCCGGAUUCAUCAAGGAGGUUCACCAUCCCGACUGGUUAGCAAACCCUGUACUAGUUAAGAAAAAGAAUGGGAAGAUGAGGAUGUGCGUCGAUUAUACGAGUUUAAAUAAAGCAUGUCCAAAAGUUCCCUUUCCAUUACCACGUAUUGAUCAAAUUGUUGAUUCUACUGCGGGAUGUGAAACCCUUUCUUUUCUUGAUGCAUAUUCUGGUUACCAUCAAAUAAAAAUGAAAGAGUCCGACUAGCUCGCGACCUCAUUAUCACACCUUUUGGGAUGUAUUGCUAUGUAACCAUGCCGUUUGGGCUUCGAAAUGUGGGAGCCACAUACCAACGCUGCAUGCCCCACGUAUUUGGCAAGCAUAUAGGAUCGACAGUCGAGGCCUAUGUCGACGAUAUCGUCGUCAAAUCAAAGCGGCAAGGAGAUCUGAUCCAGGACCUCGAGAUUGCUUUUGGCUACUUACGCGCCAACCAGAUCAAGCUCAAUCCCGAGAAAUGCGUUUUCAGCGUGCCUCGAGGCAUGCUCCUGGGUUACAUUGUUUCCCAACGCGGUAUCGAGGCCAACCCCGAGAAAGUCUCGGCGAUCACGAGAAUGGGGCCAAUCCGAGACAUCAAGGGCGUGCAAAGAGUCACGGGAUGCCUGGCGGCGCUGAGCCAUUUCAUCUCGAGAUUAGGAGACAAGGCGUUACCACUGUAUCGACUUCUAAAGAAAGUCGAGCGUUUUUCUUGGAUGCCUGAGGCCGAGGAAGCCCUCGAAAAUCUGAAGAAAACACUGACCUCAGCACCAGUCCUGGUCCCGCCUCAACCUGCAGAACCACUGCUCCUUUACGUUGCCUCGACGACCCAGGUUGUCAGCGCGGCGGUGGUGGUCGAAAGGCAGGAGGAGGGGCAUGCACUGCCAGUCCAAAGGCCGGUCUAUUUCGUCAGUGAGGUGCUCUCGGAGACCAAGGCACGUUACCCCCAAAUUCAGAAGCUGAUCUACGCCGUAAUCCUCGCCCGCCGCAAGCUGCAACACUACUUCCUCGAUCACCCCAUCACGGUGGUCUCGUCUUUCCCCCUGGGCGAGAUAAUCCAGAGUAAGGAGGCCACGGGAAGAAUAGCUAAAUGGUCAGUCGAGCUCAUGAGUGAGACUCUCACUUAUGCGCCUCGCAAGGCCAUCAAGUCGCAAGCCCUGGGGGACUUCGUCGCGGAAUGGACAGACUCCCAGCUUCUCCCGACUCAGGUCCAGGCGGAGCUGUGGACGAUGUUUUUCGACGGGUCACUCAUGAAAAUGGGGGCCGGGGCUGGCCUGCUGUUCAUCUCGCCCUUGGGCGUCCAUAUGAGGUACGUCAUCAGGAUCCACUUCGCUACAUCCAACAAUGUCGUAGAGUACGAGGCCCUCGUCAACGGUCUCAAGAUUGCCAUCGAGCUAGGAAUCCGACGCCUCGACGUCCGAGGUGACUCCCAACUCGUCAUCGACCAAGUGAUGAAAACCUCGAGCUGCCACGACCCGAAAAUGGAGGCGUACUGCAAGGAAGUCCGUCUACUCGAGGACAAAUUCCAUGGCCUCGAGCUCGUCCAUGUCGCCCGACGCUACAACGAGGCAGCCGACGAACUCGCCAAGAUCGCGUCGACUCGAGGCACGGUGCCACCUGACGCGUUCUCAAGAGAUCUUCACGAGCCAUCCGUCGACUUAGGCUCUGGGGCUGGCAUCGAUGCCGCCCCUGCUCAGCCAACCAACGCCGUCGACGAACUAUUGAUGGCAGCUGAGGUGAUGGAGGUAGAACAGCGGCCCGGUCGACUGUUUGACUGGCGCACACCGUUCCUCGACUGCCUAAUCCGCUGCGAGCUGCCAGAAGAUCGAUCUGAGGCUCGCCGUAUCGCUCGACGGGCCAAGUCAUAUGUGAUCUAUGGCGAAGGCAAUGAGCUAUAUCGACGAAGCCCGAUGGGGGUCCUACAGCGUUGCAUCACCGUGGAUGAAGGCCGGAAACUCCUCGAGGACCUACACUCGGGGGCUUGCGGCCACCACGCUGCCCCACGGACCCUCGUAGGGAACGCCUUCCGACAAGAUUUCUACUGGCCAACGGCCGUAGCAGACGCUAUCGAGCUCGUACGCUCAUGUCAUGGGUCCCAGUUCUACGCCAAACAGACGCAUCUGCCCGCCCACGCUCUUCAGAUGAUCCCCAUCACCUGGCCAUUUGCGGUAUGGGGACUCGAUCUAGUAGGGCCUCUACAAAAGGCGAAAGGGGGGUACACCCACUUGCUGGUAGCCAUCGACAAAUUCUUCAAAUGGAUCGAGGCUCGACCCAUCACCAACAUCCGUUCUGAGCAAGCCGUUCUUUUCUUCACCGACAUCGUCCACCGGUUUGGGAUUCCUAACGUCAUCAUCACCGACAACGGCACUCAGUUCACCGGCAAAAAGUUCUUGGACUUCUGCGAUCAGCAUCACAUCCAUGUGAACUGGUCUGCAGUAGCCCACCCUCGAACUAACGGCCAGGUCAAGCGUGCCAACGGCAUGAUUUUACAAGGACUCAAGCCAAGGAUUUACAAUCGCUUGAAGAAAUUCGGCAAAAAGUGGGUCGAGGAGCUUUUCUCGGUCCUAUGGAGCCUAAGGACAACACCAAGCAGGGCCACAAAAUACACCCCAUUCUUCAUGGUCUACGGUUCUGAGGCUGUCCUCCCCACAGACCUCGAGUAUGGGUCCCCUCGACUUAAAGCAUACAACGAGCAAUCAAAUAAGGAGACUCAAGAAAAUGCGGUUGACCAACUCAAGGAGGCUCGAGACAUGGCCCUCCUCAACUCUGCCAGAUAUCAGCAGAAACUUCGACGCUACCACGACAAGCACGUGUGCAGAAGGGACUUAAACGUGGGUGACCUAGUCCUACGAUGACGGCAAAGCAAUCAAGGACGCCACAAGUUGACUCCGCCUUGGGAAGGCCCGUACGUGGUGACCGAUGUCUUGAAGUCAGGAACAUACAAGUUGGCAGACGAGAAGGGGGCGAUCUUCACCAACGCAUGGAACAUCGAACAGCUACGUCGAUUCUACCCUUAGAAUUUCAAAACUUUAUGUUCCAGCGCACAUUCUGUACCAAGACUUUGUAAAUGAACGCAUAAAUAAAUGAAGCCUUUCCCUCGAGCAAUUUCCUUUUAUACCAAGGCUUUACAAGUCAAAAUCUCGACGUCAGAAGGGGGCACCGACUAUGACCCAUCAUAAUCCGCACCCCCUCGGGGGCUACCAGGGGGCGACCCCCCCAAGUGUCGAAAAAGCCAAGAAAUUCUCUUUUCCUUACUUAGUAAACCUUGUGCGUUCGAGUAGUUGAGGCACCUCGAGCCCCUUAGGGGCCGAGGGAGGAUGAGCCUGAGAACUCCUACGCCCCCGGGCUAGGGAAACUCUACUCACUUCCCCACCCUUGAGGUGAUCGAGGCUGUUUUUGAUGAAAGAUUGAACAAGGAAUACAAACAUAAGCGCAAAGGAAAACAAAAGAGCCUCGAGCGAAAAGACAGAUAAACAUUUAACAGUCACGAAAAGACAUUGUACCACUUAAACAUUUAACAGUUAACAGAGUAUUAUAGAAGGGGCCCCAGGCACCCUAAGCAGGCUCGCAGGCCUUAGUCUUCAGCACGAUCCUCGCCACCCUCGCCUGCGCCCGAGCUGGUCUCAGGAGGAAGCACCUCAGGCUCAAAAAGCUUAGCCAGCCUUUCUCCAGGGGCCUCCGCAUCAUCGAUCAAGGCGUGGAGCCUCUCUUCGUUCUCCGCAUCGGUAUUAGAGAUGUCGGUGACGAAGCCGUGGGACACCACCUCCAUGUCGUAGGAGAAGCCUGAGCAGACAACCGCCAUUGCUCGCUUCACCCCGAUGUGGAGGGCAUCCCGCACCCGAUCUCGCAGCGUCGCGCCUAUGUAGCACAGCUGGUCGACCAGUGCGUCGCCUCGAGCGUCCUCCCUCGACUCGUCCAUAGGCUCGAUCUCCCAAGAGGUCGAGAGGUCGCUUAUCACCGUCCGCACUCGACGGUUCAAAGCCACCUCCGCCUCGAGCUGAGCCUUAGCAUUGCGGGCCUCGGCUUGGGUGGCCAAGAGUUCGUCCUUAAGCCCUAUGAACACCAAUACAAGAAACUUUAGGGUAAAUCGAACACGUCUCGAAAAAAGAAAUCCAGCAAUAGAAACAUACCGCGAACACUCUCCUCCAGGGCCGUGUUCUCGCCGACCAAUCUGGUGUUAGCCCUCUCGAUCUCUUUGUUGGAGCGCGCCAGCUCAGUGUUGGCAACGCGGAGAUCCUCGAUCGCCUUGCCAGCCUAAACGAUGGCCCCACUCUUCUCCAACAGCUCUCCCUUCAGACGUUCGUCAUCGUCAGAGAGCCCGUGGGAUCGAGCCCUCUCUGCCUCGAGAUCUUCGAGGGCCUUCUUCUUUGCGUCCUCUGCGGCACCCUUGGCGACUUCACUGUCCACAUAUGCCACCUUCAUCCUUUGAAAGGAAUCUCGGAGGGAGUCAAGGUCGGUCUUGAGAAGUCCCUUCUUCUUGUCCAAAUCAGCGAUGACGCUCUUAUAGGACAGGGCCUCCUCCCGGGCUUUAGACGCGGCCUCCUCGACCGACAGAGCCCGCUCUCGCAACAGCGUCGCCUCUUCCUCCGCCUUCCUUGAAGCCACUUGAGCCUCGACCAAGGCAGCCUCCCUCGCCUUCUUCUCCUCCUUGAGCGCUAUAAGGUCUUUAUAGGCCUUGAGAAGCUUUUCUUGCGACUCGAGGAGUUGGUCCUUGAGGACGGGAGCUGCUCCCAGCCUCCUCGGGUGGCGUGAAUGAAGCUCGACUUGAUACAAGAGGUCUCUUUCAUGUCCUGCGAGCCGGGGGUCCGACGGUUAGAACGUGAAACCAAAGGGUCUAUGAGAAUUAAGGACCGAAAAAUACUUACAAAGUAGGCCGGCGCGAGCCCGUUGUUGAUAACAUCCGCCAGGAGCCCCACCACGUGCUUCAUCCAAAGGCGGAGCUCCUCGACGUGUUCCCAUUUCUCCGCCUCCUUCCUAUCGUCCAGGAAGAUGUUGGGCUCAGACGGAUCGGUGGAAGCCCGGAUGCGGAUCCUAUCGGGGCACCAGUGCUCCAUCUCCCGGUCGGCCCGCGCCUUGGCACCGCGGAUAAGGUCCUCGACGGUCUCGAGGGAGCCCCCAUGGCGCAAGAACAGGUCGACGAGGCAUGGGAACCGCCCGUCGUCGUCCACCGUCUUCCAGGUACCGUCCUUACUCCCCGACGUCCCAAUCUCGUCCUCCUCAGAGGGAAAGCGGUCCUGCCAUGUCCGACGCUCUCGGAGGAACCCUGGGGCGAUCCCGUCCAUGCCGUAGAUCGUCCUCCUGAUCUCGGACUCGGGGUCGGCGGGGGUGCGCAUCAUGCAGGCGAGUGCCACCACUCCGUCCGCUCGCCCCGGCUCUGCCCGGAUCGCGGCGGGCGCCGCCGGAAGGAGCCACGCUGGGGUCGGAGGGCCGUACACCGGCAAAUCUUCUUCCUGCUCACCGGGCUCUUGCGGCACCGGUGGUACUGGUUGGGGCAGACCUUGAGGUGGGGGCUCGAGCGGUCCCUCUUCUUGGCCCCCUCGAUGUUGCUGCUGCUGCCCCUCGAGCAUUUGCUGCUACUGUUCCUCCUGCUGCUGCUGCUGUUACUGCUGCUGCUCCUGCGGCUGCCGCGUUGCCCCGCGCUCCCGCUCCUCCUCCUCCUCCUCUUUCUUCUUCUGCUCCUCGAGGGCUCGAAGGCCAGCGGGCCAGGGAGUCCGUCCCACGACGAGGGAGGUCGAUGCCUCCUCCUCCAUAGGGCGGGCAUCCCCAGACGCCUCGUUACCGAAAGACGUGUCGCCGAUGGUGAUGGGGUCCGCCUCGACCCCCAAUCAAGGAGGCUCAGGGGCUCCUUCUUGCACCUGAGUUUGGGGCGCCUCGCCAUGUGUCGAUGGCAACGGGGUAGGCUCGGGACGAGGCGGAACACUCUCGACAUCGGCCGGAGGUUGAGAGUCGGAGGAGCCUGCAAAACGAAGAGUAAAGGCCGGUGACUAUAAUGACCAACGCAAGAACGUCACAAGACCAUAAGUAAGCUACAAACCUGGCUCUUUGGAGACUGCUCCUGCUUUGAGCCUUUUCGCCAUUGAAGGCUGGGCCUGCUCGAGUGUCCGCUUUAGCCUAAGAAAAGAAAGGGAUGAACGUAAAAAGAUCGGCGUAUGAGAAAAUGUAGAGGAACAGGAAAACAAAAGUCGCAACGUCGAAGAAGCUUACCCCACAGGGAGAACAGCUCGCCUCCCGCCGCCCCGACCGGUGGGCCUCGAGCCACCCCGCGUCAAGGCUCCAGGCCCCUCGAGGGCAGGCGCUGGCCUUGGCGCAGCAACUCCCGCUUGGCGGGCACCGGGACUGGCGCUCCUGCGGCCGGCCUCUCCUUUCUCGGAAGCCGCAGCGCGACCGCGAGUCAGUGGCCCCGUCGCUUGGGGCCUAGCAUGGCCGCCCCCCCUAGGCGCAGUGGGAGGGCGCGGCGCGACCUGACCAGCCAUGGGCGCAGGAGGGGUGUCGGCCCGAGGGCGGUGAGACCCGCCCGGACCCUCCUUCGGAGUUUCCGUCCGGGGGGCGUUGACGUCACCUCGAGGCGGACCCUCGAGGAUUCGGUCAAGGCGUGACGCCAUCCCCUCGGAGUCGUCGCUGCCCUCGUCGUCAUCGUCAUCAUCGCUUGGGGAUUCUUCCUCAGGCUCCCCCCUGUGCCUGGAUUUAGCUCGACGCGCCUCUAGUGCUUGGCGGUUGAGGUUCUUCUUUUUCUCCCCUUUCUUUGCGGCGUCCUUGGCGGACUUCGACUUCUCGGCGGACUGGCGCCGUCUGUCACGGUUGACCUCGUCCUCCUUCACAGGGGGCCUCAAAGACCGGACAUCUAUGCGUCCCUGCCAGAAAAAAGGUAGGCUUAAAAAGGAUCGAGGGAAAUCCAGAAUCGAAGCUAUGUGCAAAAGAAGAACGUACCAGGUCGAUCGAGCCCUCGUCGGGCCUCAUAGGGAAGCCGUUGACAUGCUCCAAUUUGAAGUCGCCGAGGAUGGCCGCCCUAACUCGGGCAGCGGUUUUGUCAUCCACCAGAGCCUCGUUGGACAUCCGGCAUGCCUCGAGAUCCCGGGAAGAAACACCCGGCCCCAUCUCGUCCAUCCUCAGCGGCCGAGACAUCAAUGGGAGGACCCUCCGACGAUGGACGACCGAGAGGACGAGAGCGGCGGACAGGCCCUCCAGGCGCAGCUUCUUCAGGGCGUCGAGGAGGGGGUCGAGCCGCGACUGGUGCUCUUGGACAAUGCCAUAUGUCCAGUUGUCCGGGCGCUCCGUAACCAGACGACCGGUGUAGGUAGGGAAGAGACCGUCGUCGUUCCUCAGGUAGAACCACUAGAAGUCCCACCCGGCGUGGUUCGAUGACAACCCCACCGGGAUGUACUCGCGCGGCCUCUCCGUCUUCUUCGUUUUCAGCACCAGGUUGAGGCACCCGGGCCGCACAUGCUUCCUCACGCCUGUGGUUCCGGUGGGGGCGUUGAAAAGCUCGCCCCUGUAGAGGUGGAGCCACAGCUCCCAGUGGGGCAUCAACCCGAGGUAGCCCUCGCACACCGCAGCAAAGACCGCCGCGACGGUGAUGGCGUUUGGGGAGAAAUGCUGGAGCUCCACCCCAUAGUGGAGGCAGAGAGCCCGCAUGAAGCGGCUCGGGGGAGCGCCCAGGCCGUGGCGGUGGAAUUUGGCGAACGACACCACGUAGCCCUCAGGCGGCUGGGGCUCCCUGUGGCCCACCGGUGGCGCAAUCCACUCCGGCGAUGACAGCGAGGUGCGGCGGCGCAGGAGUCCCUCUUUCUCUAGAUGUAGCAACCGAUGCUCCGUCAUCGACGACGGGCGCCAGUCGUCGGCGGCGACAAGUCUCACAGGCAUCUCGGCUAGAAGGAUGGCGGAUCCGCUACCGCUCGAGGGGGUGCGCGCGCGUGAGACAGCAAGAGAGCUAAGGCAACGAAAGGAUGAAGGCAAGAAGGCGGAAGGCGGAAGAAAGAACGGCGGCGGCGCCACAGCGUAUUUAUAGGCAGCAGUCCGCCAACGGACGGAUCCGAGAAAUGAGGUAACUCCCCCCAUAAAUGCGCCGCCUAACGGUCCUUUCCCUCCUCACAGGUGGGGCGCUCCGAAUUCCACGCCGACACAAUGACGUAACGUCUCCACCUAAAAAGGCGCGCCCAACAGGCAAAAAGGCAAACCGCCACGACUCCUUCCAUGCCUUGUAAGCCAAGAGAUGUGCCCACAAGAGUCUCCAGAGGUCGAUGGCUGGCCCACCGACAGGGUUUGACAGCCGAUCUCGAGCACCAGAGUCAGGGAUCCCCAGCGAGCGGUCGAAGAUCGAGGCCCGCCUCGAAGACUCGCUGGCGAUGUCCAAGGUAGGGUCGAGACAGUCGAGAGGAAUCCCGCCGACGGGAGGCGUCGAGCCGCUGGACUCUAUCGAAUGAGACCAGUAUCCCCGACCACGUCGACCUUGCUUUAUGAGGACGCCUCCGGGCUACAGCUGACCCCCUCGAAAGGGGCACAGGUUCUCACUUGGACUACCCGUUAGGAACUCAAUCUGGGGUGGAAGACGCUCGCUCUAUCGAAGAGUACGUCGAAACCCCCACGCAAAACAAGCCGAUCAAAACCUUCCACCACUGGUGUCGAUAGCGUUUCUGCAAAUUAGGCGAUAUAACCUUCGAAGGAGUCAAAAACUCCUCCAAGGGCUCGGGGGCUACCCCCGCGGGGUCGCUCGCGCGCCCCCACGGAAAUUCGAUCGCAAAACAAAGCCUCCACUCGAGCGCCAGCGCUCAAAUGGAGACUCGGGGGCUACUGUCGAGGGUAUCAGUAAGGGGUACCCUCACCGAUGCACAUAACAAGAUUACUCGUACGCAAGACGAGGCCGUCAGCUCGACGUUCGGGUCGUACAUAUGCGCGGUCAUCGACGGUCGCAGCCUCGAAGACGGAAGUAGCGUCCAGCGAAUCGAUCAGGGGUCGAGCGCCAGCCACCGUCGAAUACGGAAACAGGCUCGUGCGAACCAGGAUGCGUCGAGCGCAAGGACGCCGCCUGCCGCCUGACGCGCGCACGCGAGCCGGGGCAUUAAAUGCGCCUGCCGCUUUCCCACCUAACGCGCUGGUCACGGGAAGCGUGAUAGGGAACAGGCACCCGUCGCGUCAUUCUUUUUGCAGCCUUCCCCACCAAACGACCCAGGGCGUGUCAGGACGCAGGAAACGGGGAUGGAACGUCUAAUCAGGACCCCCUCGAGACAUCCAAGGUCAGCGCUCCGGGUAUCAGAACACUACACGGCGUCUGACCCUCGACCAGACAGGGAUCCAUCCUGGGGACGAGUUGGGCGUCGACUGACAACACCGCAACCACUCCGCCGGAUCUGCCGCCAUAUCGUACAAGCGUGCGACCGGUGAACCAGCCCAAGACGGCGCGCAGAGCGGGAUACAGGAGCACGCGUAAUCAUCAUCAGGCUACCAAGACGGGACGGCUCGAGACCAUGCCGGUACGGAAGCCUCGAGUAGGUCAGCGCUCCAUGCUGCUAUCGACCCCUGUUCUGACACCUACGCAUGUACCCUAGGUCUCUCCUUGGUGCUAUAAAAGGAGGGACUCAGGAAUAGAGCAGAUAGGCAACACUACACCCAUACACAGUAGAACUCUCACACUCCAUACCACCCUUGUAUUCGCCCCUGUACAAGCACUUCGGUGCAAGAUAAUACAAACUUCCCUCCCCCGCUGGACGUAGGGCUUUCUCUUGCCCGAACCAGGAUAAAUCUCUGUGUCUUCUUGCAUCACCAUCUGGGAAAGGGAGCACGCAUACAAAUUUACUCUUUGGUGUGACCCCCCGUGGGGAAAACACCGACAGUGGCAGUGGAAACAGUUCAAGAGGGACCAAAAAUCAUGAUGGGUACGUUCAGCAUCAACUCUAUCCUCGCUACAGUCUUAUUUGAUUCUGGAGCUUCGCAUACAUUCAUAUCACAAGCAUUUGUUAGAGUUCAUAGCAUUCCACUAGUUGCAAUGAAAGCCCUAUGCUAGUAAAUUCACCAGGUGGGACUAUACCACUUUCUUUAUGUUGCCCCUCAGCAAGUCUUUCUUUAAGGGGGGUAGAUUUUCCUAUCAGUCCCAUGGUUAUGAGAACUUCAGGCAUAGAUGUGAUCUUGGGUUUGGAUUGGAUGAAGUAAUAUGACAAAGAUAUUAAGUGCAAGGAGGGAGUAGUGGCUCUGACAACCCCAAAGGGAGAACGAAUCAGAGUUGAUGUAGCAGUGCAAGCACCACUCACAGCCAAGGUGAACCCACAAGCAUUUGUUAGAGUUCAUAGCAUUCCACUAGUUGCAAUGAAAGCCCUAUGCUAGUAAAUUCACCAGGUGGGACUAUACCACUUUCUUUAUGUUGCCCCUCAGCAAGUCUUUCUUUAAGGGGGGUAGAUUUUCCUAUCAGUCCCAUGGUUAUGAGAACUUCAGGCAUAGAUGUGAUCUUGGGUUUGGAUUGGAUGAAGUAAUAUGACAAAGAUAUUAAGUGCAAGGAGGGAGUAGUGGCUCUGACAACCCCAAAGGGAGAACGAAUCAGAGUUGAUGUAGCAGUGCAAGCACCACUCACAGCCAAGGUGAACCAACUGAAUGAUGAUGUUGAUCCUCAGAAUCUGGUAGUGGAUGAGUUUCCGGAUGUCUUACCACAUGAACUGCCAGGUAUGCCACCUGACCGAGACAUUGAAUUUAUUAUUGAAUUACUACCUGGUACUGCACCCAUAGCUAAAAGACCAUAUAGAAUGGGGGUUAUGGAACUAGAAGAACUUAAGAAACAAAUUAAGGAAUUGCAAGAUAAAGGGUUCAUUCGUCCUAGUUCAUCACCAUGGGGUGCACCAGUUAUCUUUGUUGAUAAGAAGGAUGGUAGUCAGAGGAUGUGUGUUGAUUAUCGGUCACUUAAUGAGGUCACUAUCAAGAAUAAAUAUCCCUUGCCUAGGAUUGAUGACUUGUUUGAUCAGCUAAGAGGUACUUGCGUAUUCUCUAAGAUUGAUUUGCGUUCUGGUUAUCAUCAAUUGAAGAUUCGAAAUUCAGAUAUACCAAAGACAUCUUUCACAACAAGGUAUGGGUUGUAUACAGUUAUGUCUUUUGGUUUGACCAAUGCACCAGCUUACUUUAUGUACAUGAUGAAUAAAGUAUUUAUGGAGUACCUUGAUAAGUUUGUGGUGGUCUUUAUUGAUGAUAUUCUGGUAUUCUCUAAAACCAAGGAAGAACAUGCUGAACAUCUGAGAUUGGUCUUAUAGAAACUUAGAGAACAUAAGCUGUAUGCUAAGCGUAGUAAAUCUAGGUUUUGGUUGGAAGAAGUUUCUUUUCUUGGUCAUGUUGUUUCUAACAGUGGUAUUGUAGUGGAUCCUAGUAAGGUGAAAGACGUAUUGAAUUGGAAACCACCUACAAAUGUAAGUGAAAUUCACAGUUUUCUUGGUUUAGCUGGUUACUAUUGUAGAUUCUUUGAAGGGUUCUCAAAACUUGCAAAGCCUAUGACUGCUCUGUUGGAGAAGAAUGCUAAGUUUGUAUGGUCUGAUAAGUGUCAAGCUAGUUUUGAGGAGUUUAAGAAGAGAUUGACUACUGCACCUGUGUUGGUAUUGCCAGAUCUGAGUAAGAGUUUCUCUAUCUAUUAUGAUGCUUCUCAUCUGGGCUUGGGUUGUGUUCUUAUGCAAGAAGGUAGAGUUGUUGCUUAUGCAUCUAGAUAGUUGAGGAAACAUGAACUGAAUUAUCCUACUCAUGAUUUGGAGUUAGCAGCUGUGGUUCAUGCACUCAAGAUUUGGAGACACUAUUUGAUUGGGCAUAAGAGUGACAUAUAUAGUGAUCAUAAGAGUUUGAAGUAUAUCUUCACCUAGACAGAUCUGAAUUUGAGGCAACGAAGAUGGUUGGAACUGAUAAAAGAUUAUGAUUUGGAAGUGCAUUAUCAUCCUGGAAAGGCGAACGUCGUAGCUGAUGCACUUAGCAGAAAGAAAUAUGCUAAUGAGCUUCGGGCGACACCUGAAUCUGAGGAGUUGUGUGCUGAAUUUGCAUAUUUGAACUUGGGAAUUGUAGUAAAUGCUAUGGAAAUUGAGGUCACUCCUACUCUAGAGGAAGAGAUAUUGAAAGGACAGUUGGAAGAUGAGAAACUAAAGGAGAUAGCACAAAAUGUGGAAUUAGGCAAAGAACCAGGAUUCAGAAUUGAUGACAAUGGUGUACUGUGGUUUGGAAAAAGGAUAUGUGUUCCUAAAGUGAAGGCUAUUCGUGAUAUGAUUCUGAGAGGGGCUGAGUCAGCAUAUUCCAUUCAUCCUGGUAGCACUAAGAUGUAUCUAGAUCUGAAAUAGAAGUACUGGUGGUAUGGCUUAAAGAGAGAUGUGGCUGAAUAUGCUGCUAGCGAGUGAAAGUUGAACAUCAGAGGCCAGCUGGACUGUUGCAACCAAUGAAGAUUCCGGAAUGGAAGUGGGAAGAAGUGGGUAUGGAUUUUAUAGUGGGUUUGCCACGUACACAGAGAGGGUAUGACUCAAUAUGGGUGACAGUAGAUCGUUUGACUAAAGUGGCUCACUUCAUACCUGUUAAGACUAAGUACACUAGAGAACGCCUAGCUGAGCUGUAUACGGAGAGAAUUGUUUGUUUGCACGGGGUACCUAAGAAGAUUGUGUCAGAUAGGGGUACUAAAUUCACAUCUCACUUUUGGAAAGCAGUGCAUGAUUCGUUGGGAUCAAAGUUGAAUUUUAGUACAGCGUAUCAUCCACAGACAGAUGGACAGACUGAGAGGAUCAAUCAGAUACUGGAGGAUAUGUUGAGAGCUUGUGCUUUGCAGUAUGGGACUAGUUGGGACAAGAGUUUGCCAUAUGCAGAAUUCUCCUACAACAAUAGCUAUCAGCAAAGUCUUAAGAUGGCACCGUUCGAGGCACUGUAUGGUCGGAAGUGCAGGACACCUUUGUUUUGGAAUCAGACAGGAGAAACUCAGGUGUUUGGGACAGAUGUGCUUAGACAUGUAGAACAACAAAUGCGGACUAUUCGGGAUAACUUGAGAGUUGCUCAAUCUAGUCAGAAAAGCUAUGCAGAUACGCAUUGGAGAGAGCUGGCUUUUGAAGUGGGUGAUUAUGUCUACCUAAAAGUAUCACCAAUGAGGAGUGUGAAGAGGUUUAAUACGAAGGGAAAGCUAGCUCCAAGGUAUGUUGGUCCGUUUAAAGUAUUAGAAAGGCGUGGAGAAGUAGCACAUCAGUUAGAAUUGCCUGAAAGUUUGUCUGGUGUGCACGAUGUGUUCCAUGUGUCUCAACUUAAGAAGUGUUUGCGUGUACCUGAAGAGCAACUACCAUUGUAAGAACUUUCUGUUAAAGGUGAUCUCACUUAUGAAGAGUACCCGUUCAGAAUAUUGGAGACAGCUGAGAGAGUCACGAGAAGUCGGGUUAUUAAAAUGUUCAAAGUGCAAUGGAAUCAAUAUUCAGAAGCGGAAGCAACUUGGGAAAGAGAGGAUGAUCUGAGAAAAUCAUAUUCAUAUUUGUUUGAGUAAGUUCUGCUCAAUCUCGAGGUCGAGAUUCUUUUAAGGGGGUAGAGUUUGUAACACCCAAAAUUUGAUUUUCAAAUAAUACGAUUUAAUUUGAUUUAUUUGAGUAUUUUUGUGAGCAUGUAAUAUAGUAAAUAAAUAAUUUUUAUUCAAAUUAAAAAUUCACCAUAAAUUUAGAAACAUGGUUGUGCAUUCAUGCUGGAGCAUAUUUUAUGUUUUGCUUGAUUGCUUUUGGUUAGAAAUAAUUUGUGCACAAAAAUUCAAUUUGUGAAAAUGCUUUUUGAAAAAAGAAAAUAAAAAGAAAAGGGGGAAGAACCCCAGCCAGCCCAGCCCCCUCCCUGGCCUGCUUGCUACCCCCGCCUCGGCCCAGCGCGUGGCAUAGGAUCCGGCCCAACUCGCGCGAGACUGGGCAGGCGCACCCCUUCUCUCCCUUGACCCACUGCCAGUUGGGCCCCGUUCUUCUUUCACUGACAUGUGGGGUCCACGUGACAGUGCCCUGCUUUCCUUCCUUUCUUCUUCUCGGGACCGAGCAGGACGCACAUGGAAGCCACCAAAUCCGGUUCGACCCCAUUUUCUGCGGGAUUUGAUUUCCCCGAACCCCUUUUUAGCCCUUGGAGAACCCCCGCGACCCUCUCUUCCAUAUACGCGCGUUGGUAGCCAACAUCACAGCUUCCCGUCGCCGUGUUGGAUCUCGCCGAAACAGAAACGAAACCGCCGCCGUCGCGGGUCAUCUCUGUGUCUUUUCAGCUCGAGCAAACCAUCCUAGUGAGUUCGGGGUAAGCUCCUCCACGCGUUGGUAUUCUUAUUUCGGAGUUUGGUGCUUGGAAUCGAGAAACCUGCGAACGCCGGCGAGCUUCGCGGCGGUGGCCAUGGCGCCACCGCACCGGUGCCUGCGCCUGGCCAGCCGCCGGCCACCCCCUUUUCCCAGCGCCCCCGAUGCCGUCCAACCGAAGAUCGACGGCCAGGAAACAAGGAUACCCCUUCGAGGGGAUUUUUCUUUAAGAGUCCCUGGAUGUUUUAAUAAUUUCACCGCGGUCCCUAGCGCCCUAAAGGGAAUACGUAUCCUUGGUUUAAAAGCGUAUUUCUGCCGGUUGAAGAUGAAAUACGUUUUCCAGUAUUUACCGAAUUGCCAUUCACAGUAUUUAGCCCAUAAAAUAUUCGUUUUAACUCCGUUUUUGUCCAUUCAAAUUUCGUUAGAUUCGUACUUACGAGCUCUACAUGUUAGAACUAUUUAUUCUCUAUUUUGAAACUUUUUAAUUCUGCAGUAGCAUUUAAUUAAUUAUUUCUCUAUAGGAAAUCUUAGAAAAUUCAUAUCUUCCCCGUUUUAAUUCCGAUUUUCGUGAACUUUACGUUUGUGUGAUCGUAGCGAUGCGUAGAAUAUUUUCAUAAACUUUUAUCUUUGAUUUUUCACUGUUGGUGUAAUGUUCUAAUUAUAUCUUGUUUGCUUUGUGUAUCAUUGUCACCAUUGGAUUGCGUGUUGUUGAUUGAUGUUUGGGAAUAGACGGUGAGCCGUACGUUGUUGAUCAAGACCAAGCUUUUGAAGACCAGCAGGCUCACGAGAGCUUUGAUCAAGGCAAGUAUAACUUGGGAUCAUCCUUGUUACCUAAUUAUAGUGUGGACUCUGUCCAUAUGUGUAUAGGCUACGUGUCAUUGUGUAUAGGUACUUGUUAGAUGAACUUUUGGAAGGCUUUAUAGUGAACCCUGUUGACCUCCAAAAUGUUUCCUAUUUUGGAAUUUGAUUAUACACUUGUUGUUUCUCUUAGUAAUGUAUGCAUUUAAACUAUUAAACUUCAUUUUUUCUGAAGUCGGUACAAAUUAGAUAAGGUUUUGAAAAAAUUUGACCUGCCUAUUACUUAAAACUUAAAAGUGUAGUAUAGGUGUGGAAACAUAGAAGUUUGAGUUUGGUAGCAUGACAUGAUACAUCAAUUUUAUGAACCAUGUAUACUCCAGCUUUAUAAAAAAUGUCUUGAAACUUUCAUGCAAAGCAUGCACAGCACAGCUCGGCCUUAUAGAAAUAUUAGAGUUUGUUGAUUAACUUUAGUCAAUAUUAUAAUUUUUUUUUGCUAAAAUGGAGAACAAAUAUUCAAUUACCCCUUCAAAAAUUAUAAUUUUCCAUCUACCUCCAUCAAAAUUCACUGAUUGGGCCAUAUGGGACAAAAUAAAAAAAAUGUUACCAUUUUAGAUCGAUUUGGGGUAGCCUCAUUUUAACUUCUAGUUACUUUCUACUGUCAUGCAUUAAUUCAUUUAAACAGUAGAAAAAAGCAAUCCGUUUGAAAGAUUUAAAGCUUAGUGUUUCCAUAACCUGUGAUAAGCAUGUAUAAGGUCGAGAUAAAAAAAUUGAGGUGCAUACACCAUCAAAAUGGAGGAUUCUUAGCGAUUACAUUAAGAUAACUAUCAGUGCUUGUGUAUCUACUCUGGUGGUUCUUAGCGCUGAGCGCGCAUAUUUUUUCUACUAACACCUCCUCCUUAUGAACCGAUGCUGUACUGGAGCGACGAACACAAAUCGUGCCUAGUUAUUAUUGAGGUGAGCCCACGACCGACAACUGCAUCUAAAAUCUAAUUACGACCACACGCACAAAAAAAAAAUGCUCUUUCCUUUUCUUUCCCCCCCCCCCCCCCCCAUCCUGGCCAUGGUGUUCUCUCUACGAAAAUGCGGAGCCACCAUAAAAAAUUGAUAUGGUCUCAGAUUUUUUUUUUUAUAUAUGUAAAAGUCAGGCGAACAGCUAGCUUGCCAUGUGCAGCGCGCAACAAAGUAUACGUCAUGUUGAAAGUACUGAAAAGACCAGGUAACAAACCAUGCACAACGACUUGUGGGUACCAAGCUACAAUUCCGCACCCUGGUUUUUUUAUCUGAUACGAAAGCCAGUAUAGCUGUUUCCAAUUUUUCCACAGCAACUUCUGCACCCAGGCACAUGGUCCUGUUUCGUUCCUUAGGUCUGUAUCCAAAUCGCUGUCACAUGGAUCGUCCGUUUGCUGCUAUUCUCCACCUUCUGAUCUGCACCGAUAUUAUCCGGACUACGACACCUCCGGAGUGUACAUUCCCCCACGUCCCACCUGGUACAAAUACUUUGAGAAAACAGCGCCGCAUCCAUCAAAACGUGCCUGUUUAAAUCGUUAGUACGAAAAAAUCAGCAUGCUAAUCACAAGGAUCAAAUUAAAUGCAAACUAAUUUUAAAACUAAUUACAAAAGCGAUGACAACUUAGCGAGACAAAUCUAUUAAUCUUAAUUAGGCCAUGAUUAACAUAUGUUGUGCUACAUGCUAAUCAAAGGCCAAUUAGAGCAACUCCAACAGUUUGGAUUUUUUAUUUGGUAAAACAUGAAGUUUGCUAACUCACAAAUAAAAAUGUCAAAGCUAAAGAGAGUUCGUCUCCAACCAUUCCCCAUAAUUAUUUUGCAAAAAAUAGAAUUAUGGACCCACUUGUUGUCUGCGCUUUUUUUCCUCAUGCACCGCUGCCAGCUCGCGCGUUUUUUGUUUCCCUUCGCCAGUUCGCCUGGUCGUCGGCGAUUGCAUCUAGCUGUAUAGGAAGCCACGUCUAGGCUAGCUAGCAGGCACGACACCGACGCAUUCCACGUCGCUGGAGACUCCACCAAGCGGGCAACUGUUGACACUUCUAACACCACUUAAGCUAAGUUGUCAUCCCUAACAUGGCGAUGGAAGUGUGGUAUAAAAACAGUCCACUAAUAAAAUAAAUAUAGGAUCCGCAAGCAUACACAUCAAAUACCAUUGUAGCACUUCACCGGAAAGUAUUCCAGAUAUCAUUAUUUAUAUUUAGCUCAAGGGAAAGAACUAAGGACUUAAACAAUAAGAUCAACUUGCAAAACAUGACUACUUAUGAGUGAUUGGGUUGCAUAGUCACAUACUUGACAUGAGGGUAAACCAUAAUAGAUAUAGGAUACAUAAAAUGUAGAAGCCUAGGGAUUAUAGAGACUAGCUAGAAUAUUAGGUAGUCGUCUAAUUAGUUCAAGAGAUAGAAAAUCCUAUAUAGUUCUAAUUUAUCAAGUCAUUCAUCUACUCUAAUGCUACAGUAUCAUAUAUAGCACAAAAGACUCUUCAUUUAUGUAUAAGGACCAUUGCUAUAAAAAGCCAAGAUAGAGUUGGACAUCCUACGCAACUGCGGUUCUACCUGUCCUACCAACGGGGGAUGGAAUACAAAGGACUCAACAGAACUGUCACUUCCGCGAUCCACCCCGCAACCCUACCAAUAGGGUGUAAUUGCAGAUAAAUGACAUCUAAGCACCAUGCUUACAUGAUAUAUAUCACCUAAGUCUCCCGCAAAGAGGGCUUAGCGCUUUGCAAACAUAUACAUAAACUCAUUAUCAAUCAUAACCAUAACAAAUGUAGAAUUAGAAUAAACUAGGAACAUAAUAAAUAAAAACAUAAUGAUAUUUAGAAUAAAGUUUAAAGAAAGAUAAUAAAUAAUACCACUCUCUGAUGAUGAAGAUCUGGAAAUUCUGAGCACAGGCGCCCGACUCUUCCUCUAUCUAAUCUAAUGCCUUGCUCUAAUGGCUCCCAGAUUCUCAGAUGAGAAUAAAAAUAUAAUUCUACUUUUCUUUCUGAAUUUUGAGUUCUCCUCUAGGGGGGCUAGGCUUGUAUUUAUAGCCCCCUAGGAAGUACCACAACCCUUAGAUCAAACCGACUUAAACGUGUGCUUAAUAUUAAUCCUCAAAGUCGGUGGACGCUAGAUCCGCGAGACAAAACCUGGUUGGUUCUUGCCCCCGGGCGGCUGCCCCUACCCCCUAGGGAGCCGGCCCCUGCCCUAUGGCACCAAAUGACUUAGACUUCGACUUCGAAACGGCUAGCUGCCGAUCAUCCAAAACCAGGCUAUAACAUUUGUUCUUGACGUCCCGCAACCUCUGCACAAAAAUUUUAACCGAGUCAUCAUUGCGUUGCCUCAGCCUUACUAAAUCAGUAAUCUUCUUCUCAUAGACUCCAAAAAAGAAGUACUUGUGGAACUGCUUCUCUAGAUCGGCCCAAGUAACUAUUGAGUUUGGAGGUAGUGAAAUAAACCAAGUAAAUGCCGAUCGUGACAAAGAUGAUGAGAAUAAACGAACUCUUAAUUCAUCCCUGUUAACAGCCUCUCCACACUGAUUGAUGAACCGAUUGACAUGUUCCAUAGUUGAUGUGUCAUCUUGUCGAGAGAAUUUAGUAAAAUCCGACACCUUGUACCGAUUUGGAAGUGGGAUUAAAUCAUAUGCAAGGGGGAUACAGUGUCCGAUAAGAAUAAGUAUUGACCUUGGGUUUUAUCCCAAACUGAUCUCUCAUUACUUCUGCUAUCUUAUCGGCCCAAUAGGCAUCGGCAUCUUGCCAAUGUAGGGGCUGUGGUUCCGGCACCUGCUAAUAAGCUUCCACAUGCCUCUGAGGCACAGGAUCUCAAGGGAACAUAGCAUUGGCCAUAGCUUGUUGGCCACCAAUCUAUUGAGCAAUGUUCAGCGGCUGAUUGGGUGGUCCUUGAUUCUGAAAACCAGCUUGCAUCUGUCCUUGCUAAAAUCCUGUAGCCUGAUGAUUUUGCUGUGUCAUUUGUUGAAAGACAAACUGCCCUGUCCAUCCAUUGUUAGCAUUCAUCGACACAGGCCCUGUCGAUGGCUGAUAAUUAGGUGUCAUCAUUGGGUUGACAUACCCUACCUGAGCCGUGAACUUCUAUUGCGUCAGCAAUAAAUCUGCCGAUGCAUUUGCAUUAGGUGUCUGGAAUGUUGGCAUCUGAAAGUUCCAAAUAAUAGGCCUUACAUUAGUAGUUGUAGAAUACUGGGGAAUCUGAGUCAUCGGCGAAACUGGAGGUGCCAAUGUCAUAGGAGCUUUCCUUGCCAAGUCAGCCACCUGAGAUGUUCUAGAUCUUUUUGCAAAAAAUUAUAGAGGCAUACCAUAUCCCCACCAAUUGGGAGGAACCUGACAGCUCUGAAAUACAGACCCCAACAUUGCCGAUGCCGAUAGAUCUGUGUUGAGUUGAAUCCGUCCAUCUGAUGUUGCUAGACUAGUUCUCAUCGGUAUAGAUUGCCCAUUACUGACCCCUAAUGUGCUUGGUGGAGAAGUAACUUCUGUGCCUAAAAUGGCCGGAGGAGCCGAUGGAGUCGUAACCGAUGAUAACCCUGGCUGAUGAUAGGCCGGGCCCAUGUAUAACGGUGGUGUCUGUCCUUCUUUGAAAGUUCUAGCCACGGUGUUGAAAACAGUAUUGGACAGUACACUGGAUUGAUUUAUCAAAACAUGAUUAAUAGCAUUGUCAACCAUAUCUUUCAAUUUACCAGGAUUGGCUUCAAACGUGAUCUGGUGAGGCAUCGGCAGUUCAAGCUUCUAGAUCACUUCGCCGCUCCUGUUGAUGCUGAAGGAUUUUAAGCAUAAUUGCUUGAAUUCCUCCAUAGCCUUUGCCAUCGCCUACUUCUACUCAUCCCUAAGAUCAGCCUCCGUUACAGCAAUGAUGUUUUCUGUGUCGAAUUUAGUAGUAGACAUAUUGAUCUUGACGAUGAAUCUGUCCCACUUGUUGUUCCAAAAGAUGUGUUGGUGCACAAGUGGAUCUGCAAACACAAAGGGCUAAUACCCGAUUCAAUCGUUAAGGCGUGCCAGCCGAUUUGACCUUACAACCGACAAAGGUGAUUACUCGAAUACUUUGGUCUCGACAACAGCGAUGCGCCCGGAUGCCAAGGCCAACAAGUAUUCACGCGGAACUCAAGAACUCAUCGAGUAUGACUCGAUGAAUUCUUAAGAACUUGUAAGUAAAAGAAAAGGUCCGAGUUGACGAACCCGUCGAAAAUGUAGAUGCAAAAGUAGAUGUAAAAGUUGUGUGUGAUAUUGAUUGGAUUGUUUCUUACAUUGCUAGUAGGCCUAUAUUUAUACACUAUCCUAAAGAGUCACAACUAGAAAUAUCUAGGAUUCUAAUUCCAAAUCAAACAGAACUUGUACAUAAAAUAAACUCUAGCAAUUACGGAAAAUAACAAUUUAUCUAUCCUAGGUGAUCGGUACACCACCACUGUUCCUCUGAUGAUUCUCAUGUCUUCCUUCACCAUCAUGGGCAUAUCAACCUCCAUCAGCAUCAACAAUCAUAAACAUCAGCCAUCGUCACCGAUCAACUACUGUUCCUGGACUUAACCAUACCUUGCUCCUACUGCUUCAUCACCGGUAUCAUAAGCCAUCGGCAACUCCCUUGUCGACCAGUCAUUACUUUUCCAUCUGCUGAUCCAAGCUUCAUUAACCUUCUUGACACGUGUCUAAAAACGGUGUCAACAACUAUCCUAAAUAUACUUGAGAGUUAACUCCCUUCCUACUGUGGCCGAUAGGUGAAAAGGGUGGUGUGAAACACUUCCCUAGGCAGCUACCAUGCAGGCCAACUAUUAUUUGCAUCUUGCCUAACAACACACUGAAGAGAACUCCUAAUGUCCAGCAGAGGCCUGUCAAGCUUCGCUACUGGCAUUCUUCAGGUGCGACAAGAAGUCCACAAGGGCAGACUUAGUCUAGACACCACGUCUACACUAAUUCUACUAUUCUAGACCCAGCUAAGGUUUCGAGCACUUCACAAUGGGCAAAGCAAUGUGCCAGAUAGGCCGGUUGUAUACUUAAAAUAAACUAAGACAGAAAGUAAAUACUGGAAGUACUCAGAUGAAAGGCAACUAGGUCUACACUAAUUCUACUAUUCUAGACCCAGCUAAGGUUUCGAGCACUUCACAAUGGGCAAAGCAAUGUGCCAGAUAGGCCGGUUGUAUACUUAAAAUAAACUAAGACAGAAAGUAAAUACUGGAAGUACUCAGAUGAAAGGCAACUAGAAGGAAGACUUACUAGAAGACAAGCAUCCGCUGAGGCGCUCCUGGAAGAAGACUUCCGACAAGCCGGGACUCCUCCUCAGGGAACUCCUCACUCUUUUCCCUCUAUUCUCACACUUAGCUAAGAGUAGCUCUUCCUAAAAUACAUCAUGCUUAACUAGGCUCGCUAAAGGGGUAUUUAUAGGGGGAGAUGGAGUAGGGGCUACUCCAGCACCACGUUAGUGAUCCACGUGCUCCUUCUUCUCCACUAUUGGAUCAAACUGACCUUGGGAAUGCCAUAUGAUCAAUGGUUGGGAAUUUCCAUCACAUGUUCAUCAUGGGGAUGUUGGUGGGAGUGAACUGACUCAAGGUGGGCCCACAUCAAAGGUCGGUCGACCGACCUAUUACCUCCAUGUGGGUCCCACCAAUCUUCUCGAAGAUGUUGAUGUCGGUGGGAGUGUGGGCCAGGUGGGGGCCCACCAAAUGUAGGUCGGAUGACCUACACUAUGGGGGGUCGGCCCACCACCUUGCUCCACAUGUUGUCCCCACUUGUCAUCUUCAAUGUUUUGUUGAUAUGUGGUGGUUUUGGUUGUUAACCAUCUUUGCUUCAUUUGAGCAUGAUUAGGCUUGAUUAGUGGCUAUUUGCACCUGCAUCCAAAUAAUGACAUGUACAUGUGGAGCCAAGUGAAUUGUACCUAUGUCACUACUUAGUUGCUUGAUGUUGUCCCCAAAACAUAACCUUUGUUGACGCUUUUAGUGGUCGAAAAUCAUAGUGAAAAUACCGUGAACAGAUGGUUCCCAUAAAUCAUUUUAAGGCCAUUUUUGGGAUCUCUCAUAAUUAAAUUAGCACUCUUAAACAUAUGCUCACCUAAAAUAGAUCUUUCAUCCUAGAUGUACUCUACUUCAUUUGUUUCAAGGAAACCUAGAGAUUCAGCAAUUCUGGUGAUAAGUGAAGUAAAGCAUAGGGGCAUGCUUGGUGCAAUGGAGGAAAUCUAGAAAGGUACUAGCUACUUCAUAGGUGAAAAUUUGAUUUUGUUUACCAUGGCAUAAAGGAUUUGCAAUUCUUUACAGCCUAUAUCAGCCAUGCUAGGACCAGGGAAGAGAGUGACUAAGAUCCAAAUGUACAUGAAUGUUAAGGUUGGGUUAUGGAUUUGGACAGGUGUACAAAUAGAGAGAUUAUUGGAGCAAGUAAUCAACUUACAUAACAUAGCUAAGUCAAAAUUUUGCAAAGCAUGAUCUAUGUCUAGCUCACAAUCUUGAUCAAAGCCUAGACACGUACUUAGCUCACUGCAAGUUAAACUGUAGUCUUUGUUGAACAUGCGAAAAGUUACUACCGUAUCGUUCGAUUUUAGUGUGGCAAGAAAUUCUUGAGAGUGUACUUUUACACCAAAUUCUGGAACUUGCCAAAAUCCACCACAACCAAUGGCAUAAGAGACAGUAGGAAAGUCGGUGCUCAUACCUGAUUGGUCCAAGAGUUUAUCGUCAAAGACAGCUGAGUGGUUGAAGCCGCAAGUUCAAAGGGUGUAGAGCUUCCCUAGCUCUUCAUGAGUGAGCAAGAGGUUGUCGUGGGGCUCCAGUAUCCUAUCAGCGGGAAUGAAGGGAACAACUGUGUGCAGUUAUUCCUCCUCCACCCUCUCAUGGCUCCUACUCUCGAAGUGGUGAGAGCUCGAGGAGGAGCCAUCACCCUUCCUCUUUUUGGUGAGCUUGGCGGAGAUGAAUUUCUUCAUGCUAGCUUCACAAGUGAACAGACAAGACCAAGCUUCCUACUAUACUACUAUGCAGAAGGGAAAUGUUUUUUGGGUUUAUUUCUACUACUACGCUAAGCUUGAGAAGGCUUGGAAUACUAAAUAGAAGAGAGAAGGCCAAGUGAGCUCGAGAUGAUUCUGCUGGUUUUGGUGUGGGAUUGAGCUCACAUUGGGGUGCUAUUUAUAGGGGUGAGAUGGCAUGGCAAGACCCCCAUAGGGUAGGUCAGCCGACCGGGGUUCACCCCCUUUGAAGCAUGCCUUCAACUUUGGAUAGGGAAUCUAGCCUCUUGCUUGCAAAAAGUCACCAAGUGGAACCAAAAUCUUGGUCGGUCGACCAUGACUUUUGCCCCCCACCACUUUAGUCAAGCUAUGUUGUGUUGUCUAAUAAAGAUGGUGGUGGUGGUGACCUAAAGUUGCUGUUGGUUGCCUCAGAUUCACAUGUUUAGUGUUUGGUGAAAGAGAAAAGGAGAAAGCAAAAGAGGGGACAAGCGCCAAAGUGAUUCCCACGGAUCAUGGGGACCCUUAAGCAUGCAUUUUUGCUCCCUAUGCUAGAUUGGCUAUUGGAAUGUUCCCUAAAGCAUCAAAGUGCUUAAAGUAGCAUCCUAAGCUAAAGUCAUGAGCAUUGGACCGUCUCACCUUGAAUUCUGGCUAGUGUGUUAACCAUGGGAUCCUUUGACAUCAUCAUUGGAAGGUAGCUGGAUGCCUGGUGGCACCAAGACCAAGUCGGUCAACCUGCCCUUGGGGGCUCCAGGGCAUCCUUUACCCCUCCUAGGAUUAAUACUUCUAGCCACAGUGGAGGGAGAGGUGGUGGACCCACAAAGCCAACUCGGGCGACCUGGCAAUGGUGGCCCUACCAGCUCACCUUUUCUCCACUCACUCUCCUCAAGAUUUGUUAUUUAUAUCUAUAUUAUUUGGUCGAAAUAAAAAUUGCCUUUUUUUAAGUAAGCAUGCAAUUGAAAAGCAAAAUUGAAAUGCAAAAAUUAAAUAUGAGAUAACUACUGACGUACCUGGUCAGCGGAGGGCUCCAUGUUUUAGGUCCAUAGAGUAGGACCUCUCAGACAGGUUUCAUUCUAUGGACGCCUCGGUUGGUCCCGAAGACGGGGUCCGUGCAGGCAUCUCCUUCUCCCGCCAUUCCUUUUUGGGAUGUUCUACUUACUUUGCGGGUUCCUCCUUCUGUUCGGCAUUAUUGGCUGACUUGCCUUUGUUGUACCUCUGGUGGAAUUUGCCGCGAGGUUUCUCCUCUGGUUUCGUGUCCUUCGGCUGCAUGUUAGUUUUAUAGCCACAGAAAAGACAUUUAAUCCUCUUACCUGCGAACUGUAGAUGGAUCUAGCCAGACCCAACGUAGAUGACAGCGUUCACCGUGUUCAGGAAUGGCCAUCCCAAUAUGACGGGGACGUCGAUGUUUGCCCCAAUGUCGAGGAUGACAAAAUCGACGGGGGCAUAUUUGUUGACGGUCCUUAAGUACCAAAUAUAAUCAGCAAGUAAACAAAUAAAAGGAUCCAAAUACAACCAACAUCUAAACUUAGGGUUUAUCUGACAGAAUUCGAUGAGUUUUGGUGUUUGUCUAUUUUCUGCAGGGGGUUAUCAGGAAAUAAGGAAGAAAGGCCCACACGUCGAGAUUACAUAGAGAUAUCAACGUGCCGCGCAAUUAUAUUACAUCUAGAAGACUCUAGAAGCCACGGGAAGGAAGCGGAGGCCGAACGGAACCUGGCCCUGGGCCCCCACCCAGUUGACCUGGGCGCCCGCCCCCUCCUGGAGUCCAAACAGGACUCUCUUUCGUGAUCAACCUCCACCGACCUAAAGAAUCAAGGAUAACUGUUCAAUCAAUGUCGAUUUGAUCCGACGGCCUAGAUUCACUUGAGGGGACUAUAUAACCAGACCCCCUGGCCCCUGGAGGAGGCACCCCUUGAUCAUUAUUCAUUAUUCAUUAUUCAUAAACAAAGCAAAAGCUAGGGUUUGGAGAUUAGAGCUCUCCUCUCAUCUCUAAACUAGAGUAGAUCUAGAUAGUAGCAAGAUGGAGAGCGAAGGAGGAUUAGAGGAGAGGCCGGCCUGUCGGUUCUUCCUCCAAUUGUACUUCGUCAUGAUCAAGCUCUAAUCAAGCUUGCUCAUGGGAUGACUCUGGUAAUCUACUUCUAAUUCAUUAUGCAAUUACUAAUCAUGUAUGUUUUGGUUCACAACUCUUUUGAGUACUUCUAAUCUAUAGGAUCCUAUAGGUUAGAGUUGUAGUAUAGGUGUAAGCGUGGUGCUUAGACCUAGAUUACUUGUGGAUAUCCCCUGUCUAGCUGGAUCAUGUGGUAGGCCACGUAGGUGAUAGUUACGUUGGUCCCCUAUAGUCCACCUCUUGUUAGCAGGACAGGUAGGGUUUAUCGGCCUAUGGCUAAGCAUCCUUUGUGGUGUAUUCUUAUCACGUGGUUCGUCCCAGACAUAGACAUACCCCUUUGAAGUAGAGAAACCAUAGUUAUCCUCUGUAUUCUGCUACCAUCGCCCAUAUAUUAGAUUGCUCUACUCUUUGUUCACAUAUUAUCACUCACUGUUAUCUUACCUUUAAUAUUGUUCUUAUUCAAUUCUACCAUCUUUCCUAUUUAUACUUAUCUAUCUAUCUUGGUUAAGUUAGAGCGUAGUUGGUUCCCCCGUUUCCCUGUGGAUACGAUAAAACCUUUAACCGGGUAAAAGCUACAACGGUAUCCAUGUGCUUGCGGAUUAUCUGUGUGCGUAUAAAUACCAUAGUACACUCUAGUGCCAUGCUGGGGAUGACAAUCUAGUAUUCAACUGGUGUUAGCAAGUGUCAACAAGCAUUUCUGGCGCUGCUGCCAGGGAAACGGUUGCUGAGUUGACAACGAACUAGCUUAAUCAUUUUCUAAAAAGUAAAAUAUAUAUAUAUAUAUACUUUUCCUUUUAUCUUUUGCCUUAUCUCUGCUAUUCUUUGUUCUUAUCUAAUCCUUGAUCUCUGGUCUAUCAUGAAUUCAAACAUGUCUAUCUAUGAAUUUCAUAGACCUACAGGCACACAUCUCGAACCACCAAAAUCUUCAAAGCCUAUCAUAGCAUCUAGUUUUGAGAUAGACCCCGAAUACAUAGAAUUUGUUCAAAAACAACCUUUCUCAUGAGAAGGUGAGGAAAACCCAUACACACACCUAAGAGAGUUUUAUCGAGUCUAUGACCUCCUUCGCAUAGAAGGCAUGUCCGAUGAGACCCUUAAAUGGAAGCUCUUUCCGUUCUCUUUAAUAGGAAAAGCUAGACAUUGGUACAAACUCAAAGUAAGAAGUGUUCAUGGAGAUUGGAAGGAGUUAUAUAGUAGUUUUCUUUCUAAAUAUUUCCCAAUCUCCAAAGUGGUGGAACUUCAGCAUGAGAUUCUUUCUUUUAGACAACUGGAAGAAGAAUCUCUUGGAAAAUCAUGGGACCGCUUUAUUAACCUUACUCUCACUGGCCCAAAGCUUUCUAUUCCACAAGAAGUUCUUCUAAUUCACUUUUUUUGAGGGCCUUAGUAUGUUAAAUAAGCAAACCCUUCAUGCGGCCUCUAGAGGAUCUUUCCACCACCUGUCCGCUAGUGAAGCUUGGAAUUUGAUUGAUUUAAUGAGCGGAAAGUCUCCUAGCUUUUAUAUCCCUGAGAAAGAGACAGAAACAGUUCGUAGACAAGAAAAAGAAGUUUCGAUAGCCAGAUCACAACCACUUCAAUUCCAAACUUUAGCUAUCGAUCCUAAACCAUCAAUACCCCAAAAUUCUCCAAGGGAGGAAGGAAUUACGACCUUAAAUCUUUCAGAUGUUGAUGGUUUAGACUUCUGGUUCCAUUAGAGACCUUCAAGCAAGGAUAAUUCAAAUCCUCGCAAUAAUGGUUCUCUUAGAGAAUGUCCUAGUUCCUAUUAUGAAGAAGUCGAGGAUGACAUAUCAAGUGAAGGAGAGCUAAGCCAUAUAGAAAAUUCUAACACCUCCCCUUUCCUGAUCACAAGUUCCAAAUGGCUAGAAUGCAUAGAAUGGAUGGAUAAGGAAGAAGCUUUAAUGAAUUCUGACUUUGGCUCAAUUUCAAAUGGUGAGUUCUUGACUCCCUUUGAAGAUGAGAUUCAUCCAACUACAGAAGAGGACAUAGUUGAGACCAAUCUAGGACAAACUCCGAACAUUCAGAUUGGAGACGAAGAUAACAUUAACGAGCAUGGAAUUUAUUUCAUAGCCACUUAGUUUGCUCCAUGCUCAUAUGCAACAUCUUCCCAAUCUUGGUCUCUCCAACAUCACCACAUUUGAGAUCUCCAACCCCCUCUUCGUUUCUAUUUAUAAAAACAUUAAAAGGGUGGUUGUCGAUGCAUAUGUCUAUAAUAAAUAUUGCAGAUCUCGUUGAGUUGAUCUUGAUAUAGGUCAGUGUUGGAAGGGAAACCACUUCGCCGACAUAAAUUGAUGGUUUCCCAAGGACAAGCUUAGUGUCCUAAAAUAAGCACUGAUCAGAUCGUAACAUGAGCUUUUUACAACAGUACCUUAUGUAUUGAGCAUAUAAGGAUAAUUAUAAAAUAUUCCUUCAGGUAUUCUUGUCACUAACCUUUCUAGGAUUGGAGCAAGAAGAUCCGAUGAAUGACAAGCACAAGGUAUGUCCAACCGAUCAUCAUACAACAUUGAAUUAAAUUCUUCCAAACUUGAAUUUUGCAAAAUUCAAGCUUGGGGGAGUACUUUACAUAAAAAUAUCCUUUGCCAUGUUGCUAUGUUGGUUGUCCCUACCUUUGAGACAUGCUCAAUUUGUUAAAUACUAAUCACACUACUUCAUCUCCACUUGAUUAGAUCUCUAUAAAUGCUCUCAUGCUACCUUUAUUUGCUUUAGUAUAUGUCUAGGUUUGGAGUAGUUUCAUUUAUCUCUUAAAUAAGCAUGGUGCUUAGUUUAGGAAUGAUGAUCUUAGUUCCAAGGGAUUUUAAAUUAAGCAUGGUGCUUAGGUUAAAAUGCCCUCCUAAAUCAAAUCAGACAUGGUGUCUAGGUUGAUUUUUGAGCCGAAAGUAUGCUAUAGUAGAUAUUGGAUAUUUUGUUGGACUAACCCCUGCAGGAAAACUUUCAAUAUCGACCUGGGAAGUCCUGAGAUAAACUCACAUCAGAGACAAAGAGAGAGACACAUGAAGUUUAACAAUUUACACAAGGAAGACGUAGCUCAUAAGAGAUGAUCCAUGGAGGGUGCUACAAACACGAUGCACAACCGCUAAGAAAGGAAAGCUUCCACAAGGUGAGACUGUACCAUCACUCUUCAAUUAAGGUAACACCUUAAGGUACUUGACUAUCACUUUUAUAAGCUUCUCCUUGGUUCUGGCGUUCAUAUGAAUAAAAGAGACAAACAUGUAUGAUUUAUAACUCCAAAUUAACCAACCCCACUGAUUCAAUAUGUUUAGUCCCUUAAUCUUUGAUCCCCACACUCCUAGUCAUAUGAGCUAAAAUGUUGCACAUUUAAUCUUUGGGAAGAUAUAAAGAAAAAGACAUAUAUAUAGAUAGAUUAUCUUUCUAUUAGGUUGAGCGAUCUGAUCCGGCAAAUGUUUUAAAUGCUACACUCAUGAACUUAUCAUUCAUCAACUUUGUCUUGCUCACCAUGCUUAAGGUUAGAGAAGAACAAAUACACUUUUGGUUCUGUUGGUGUUUUCCACCAAUAGGGCCCAUGCACUUGAUCUCUGCCUUGUCUCUAUGAGCAGGUACACUACGAGCACAAACACACGGAGCAAGAUACUGCCAACACCGCACUUCGAACUACUGGGCAAACGAAGAACAUGGGUGACACCGUAUUAAGAGGUGCAGACGUCAAGGUCCACACCUGAAUCAAAUGACACACCUAAAGAAUGAACACGGUGAGAAGUCUUAUUCAGAAGACUUAAAACAUUAAAUCCUCGCCGAAAGGUAAAAUCGGUAGUUAUCCAUAUUUAUCCUUUCUGCAUUCCCUUUUCCCUUUAAUUAUUUACUUUCCUUAAAUAGCUUAUUAGUUAAUCAUGCUAUCUUGAAAAGAAAAUAAAAGUGUUAAAAAUACUAAGCCCCAUGUGAGUAUGCUCGUGGCAUGAAACCCAUAAGUACAUUCACUGUGGUGGUGUAAAAAUAAAAUAAAUAUAUUCUUGUCCUAUAGAAAUGAAAAUAUAAAAAUAAAUUUAUGAUCCUACCAAAGAGAGUAAUAUUUAUUAGAGGAAGCUCAACAUGAUAAAGGCGAAGAGAUUUUAUGCUAACACUUAACCAGUUCCACAAAGCUGUGUUGUCUAUUUGAGCUCCACAUAAUUCAAGGAUCAAAGAAGACUAGUAGACGGAGGACAUUCUAAUCGCUGUCAGGGUGCUGCCGACAUUCAAAUACACCUCCGCACAGCUACAUCAGAAGAAAUUACGUCAAAAUCUAGCUUGGGGGAGAGCACCCCCAUUUAUCCAGCUAAGUGUUUCUACGCAUGUUUAUACUUUACUCAAAUAAUAAAUAGAUGCAUAAUCAUAAAAAACCCAAAUAAAGAUUUUAUGCUUAUAUAUAUAUAUAUAUAUCUUUUCUUAGUUUGCUAAAUAAAUAAAUAAAUAAAGUUUGCUAUGAACUCUCAUGAUAAGCUCUCACAUGGAAAUGAUGAAUAGUUGCUCUGCCUUGACUAGUUCUCAAAAGUGAAAUCUCUCUCAAGUUUAGGUAUGACUGUUAUGAAUUAAAAUUUGCUCUAAACCUAAACUUGUGGGAAGAGUACUUGAUCUAAAGUCUAAGUCGUUGACGGAUAUGAUAUGGGGAGGUUGAGCUGCUGUUUAUCUGUUCCUAGAGAUGCUAGAAUUCUGGAGAAUUUUAUCUUUGAAAAUAAUUAAAAUGUUGCAUGAUGAGUUUCUAUAUGAUGAGAGUUUAAAAUCCUACCACAGCCAUAUAUACAUGCUUAUUAGACUAUGAACCAUACAUUUACUUUUUACUGCUUAUGAGCCUUGAGUGUGGUCAAGCUGUGUAGACCCUUAGGAGCUUGUCAUGCGGUUAAAAUCAAGAUUCACUUGCACGUUCACUCAUACAUGCUGCUUCUACUCCGGAAGUACGCAUCCACAUACAUCCACUCCUUUCCAUCUCGAGAUUCAACUAAAAUUAUUCUACUCCUAUCCAGGAGAGAAUAGCCAAAAACAUUAUCCUAUCCCUAUUAUUCCCUGUGAAAUAAAUGCUCUUGAUAUUUUGGCUACUACCAUUUGCUACAUUAUUCUAGGAGGAUGAGUGCUCUGAAAAAAAGAAAAGAAAAAAUAUAGGAGGAACUAAAAAUGGGCAAGUGCCUGGAACCUCGAAGAAAAGAAAAAGUGAGACGAGAGGUAAAAAUGGACAAGUGUCCGACAGUAGAAUUAGGGGUACAAGAUACCCACCUGAGAAAAAAAUAUAUAUAUAUAGAGCAUCUCAUUCCCCUCAAAAAGCUUCAAAGUGCAAGAAAGGUAUGUAUCCCCUCAAAAGAGCAAAAGUAGAAUUAGACUUUCACCAAUGUUUUCACCAUCAUCACCAUACACCAUUCAUUCGCCACACAUGCACAUCUUGAUUUGACUUAUUGACUUGUUUCUCUGGAUCCAUGGUUUGACUAUGCAAUAAAUGUCUUGUAAGUAUGUAUUAGCUGUCUCCCACCUAUGAGCUCCAGAUAUCAAAACCUUGUUAGAGUAGGGUGAGAGAGAAGGCAAUAUCACUAUGCCUCAUACCAAAAAUACCACGUGCUUUGAGAGAAGGCAUAUAUCAUCACUGCUUUGGUAAGGAUCUAGAAAUACCACAAAAGAGAGAAUUGAGAGAGUCAUAUAAGGAAUCUCUGAGUUUUAUUUGAAAAUCUGCAAAAAAAACUCCAGAGCUAUAGUUGAUCAAAGAACAAGAGACAUGGUGCUUGACUUGACCGUUCUAUCUUUUAACUGCUCAAGACACAAGUGACGGUUGCAAGCCCCAUGGUGAAAGGUAAUAUGAGUAAGUUUAAAUCUUAACAGUUUACCUUAACCUAGAGAUGAGAUCUUGUUUGAACGCACGAGUACCUUUAAGGCAUAAAACCACUGCAGAAACUCUUGAGUCCAUUCUUGCUCAGGGACGAGGAAGAGGUAAGCUUGGGGGAGUUGUUGACGGUCCUUAAGUACCAAAUAUAAUUAUCAAAUAAACAAAGAAAAGGAUCCAAAUACAACCAACAUCUAAACUUAGGGUUUUAUAUGAUAGAAUUCCACGAGUUUUGGUGUUUGUCUGUCACACCCAUAUUUUAAGAACAAAAUAGGAUGCAUAAAAGACUCAUAUGUGCCCCAGAAACAGUCACACACAUAAGUAGACAAAUCUCAAAUGUACCAUUGCAGUGUUUAUUACAUAACGGAAUAUAAUAUAUCACAUAGUCUCAUACAAAAAUGAUAGCAUAAAGUAAACAACGCUCUCGACGGAAGCUCCACACAGGGACACUGUUGACUGGUUGACUCCAAACCUACUACUCAUAACGGUAGUUCUCAUUCCAGACAUCUUCAUUAUCAUAUCCUGAGGUGUUGGGAAAUUGCAAGAGUGAGCACAUAUCGUACUCAACAAGUAUAACCAGGGGUUCAUGAGGCUCAAAUAGCUGACAAUGUUUUGACUGCAUUUAGCUUUUAAUGGUGGAUAGCAUAUUCAUUAUUAAAUAGCAAAUGUCAAGGUAGCAUAAAUAAUCCAUUAAUCCCAUGAUCAAGUGUAAGCAUAAUUUAUUCACAGCAUAAACGAUAAUCAAAUGAACAUAAUAACAUAAUAAGCUCAUCAUCUUAAUGUAGACGUCCCCAAGGACGCUCCUGACCGUGAGCUCGGCUAGUAUACCAGUUUUACACUCUGCAGAGGUUGUACAUCUUUACCCAUGAGUCAUGAUUUACCCUUUCGCCCAAGGUAGCUAGUCUCUUAACCCCCUUCCUAGGGAGGUCGGCAGGGAUCACUAUGAAGCCUUUCAAAAGUUUGUCUAACAUGUUAGGGCUGCAAGGUUUCCUUUGCGCGCAGAUAUAGAGCCCCCCUUCCGAUGGCACAAUGACUCGCAGCCUAUACACAUACAGAUAGAGGCCACACUAUACCCAAAACGGUUCAGCCCCUCUGCCCUUUCGGGUAACCUCUAACAAGCUAGAAAAGGGCUUCAUACUGAGCUAAAGCCAGAUCCAUUAUAGCCCUCAUGGUUGCGCUGUUAUCUCGGGUGAUCACGUACAGACAAGAUCUCAUACAGUUAUUUGUCAUUCUUUUAUGUUCAUUGCAUAGCUUUUAAUCAUCUUACAAGAUCAUGGAUUAUAUCAAGCACUAGCACAUCUACACCAAAUGCAUAUCAAGUUGGUAACAAGGUAUCCAGGUAACAAUCAUCUAUGAUUUUGCUAAGGUCGACAAGGUGAUAGCAUGCAUAUGAUAUAUAUGUGUGGUUAUAAGUGAAUAGGUAACAAGGAUAUUCCCAAGUUAUACUUGCCUUGAUCAAAGCUCUCCUGAGCCUGCUGGUCUUCAAAAGCUUGGUCUUGAUCACCAACGUACGGCUCACCGUCUAUUCCCAAACAUCAAUCAACAACAUGCAAUCCAAUGUAGACAAUCAUACACAAAGCAAACAAGCUAUGAUUAGAACAUUACACCAACAGUGAGAAAUCAAAGAUAAAAGUUUAUGAAAAUAUUCUACGCAACGCUACGAUCACACAAACGUAAAGUUCACGAAAAUCGGAAUUAAAACGGAGAAGUUAUGCAUUUUUCAAGAUUUCCUAUAGAGAAAUAAUUAAUUAAAUGCUACUGCAGAAAUAAAAAGUUUCAAAACAGUAAACUAAUAAUUCUAACAUGUAGAGCUCGUGAAUACGAAUCUAACAAAAUUUACAAAUUCAAUGGCAAACUUGUAAAUAACAGAAAGCGUAUUUUGACUCAGCCAGCCAGGAUUACGCUUUCGCAGUUGGAAAGCGAAGUCUGCUCAGGGCGCCAAGGACUGCGGAGUAAUUACUAAAACAUUCUAGGGACUCUUUAAACAAAUUAUCCCCCCGAAGGGGUAUCCUGUGUUUUCGGCCGUGGAUCCCCCAUCCAACGGUCACGAUUUACCCAGGGGAGCUCGCGGUGGCCGGCCGGCCGGAGUUAGGGCCGACGCGGUGGCGCGCCAUGGCCAGGGAGGCCGAGCUCGCCGUCGACGAUGGAUUUCGCGAUUCCGAGCGCCAAACCACGAAACAAGACUACCAGGAGAACGAGGAGCUCAUUACGAACUCACCAAAGCACUUGGUCCGGCCCGAGAGGGAACCAGGAGUGUUUGCCACGGCGACGGGUUGAAUUUCAUUCGGCGAGAUCCAAAACUCUGUGCUUGAGGCGGCUAGGGCUUCCCGGGGUGCGAUAGAUGGCAAAAGGGGGUCGCGAGGGUGACCACCAGGCUUUAUAGGACGCGGUUUGCUUUCUUGGCAAGGAAAUCCUUGGAUUUCGGGAUCGGUUCGGCCGGAGAAAGAAACCUGCUCGGUUUUGACGUGGAGAAGAAGAACAGGGCGCUGCCACGCGGGCCCGGGGUGUCAGCGGGAGGAAGAGGGGAAACGCGCCUGCGCUGCUGGGCUGGCCGUGCUGGUUGUCGCCGUUGGGCCGUGGGGGGGGUGGUUAUGGGCCGCGCGUAGGGGGAAAAAGGGAACUGAGAGUGCUGGGCUGCGGGGGUGGGCAGGCAGGCCAGGUAGGGAGUGGGCCUCGGCCAGACCCAGGGGUUGUUUCCCCUUUUUUUCUGUUUUUAUUUUCCAAAACAUUUUUCAAAGCAAAUUUUGAACAAAAACAAAAAAUAAAAACAGAAACACACAACACAAAAUAAAUGCUAUUCUCAGCAUGAAUGCAAAAGCAAGUUGCUACCCUUAUGAUAAAUUUUAUUCUCCAUAAAAUUAAUUGCUAGAUUCAUAGCAAGUUGCUAGAUUCAAAUGCUCAUAAAAAUACUUAAAUAAAUCAAAUUAAAUACUAUUAUUUGAAAAUCAAAUUUUGGGUGUUACAAACUCUACCCCCUUAAAAGAAUCUCGUCCUCGAGAUUGAACGGUGCUUACUCAAACAAGUAUGAGUAUGAUUUCCUCAGAUCAUCCUCUCUUUCCCAUGUUGCUUCGGCUUCGGAAUACCGAUUCCACUGCACUUUGCACAUUCUAAUCACCCGACUUCUGGUGACUCUCUCAGCUGUCUCCAAUAUUCUGACCGGAUACUCUUCAUAAGUGAGAUCACCUUUAACAGAAAGCUCUUCCAACGGUAUUUGCUCCUCGGAUACACGCAAACACUUCCUAAGUUGUGACACAUGGAACACAUCAUGCACACCAGAUAAACUUUCAAGCAAUUCUAUAUGCUACUUCUCCACGCCUUUCUAAUACUUUAAACGGACCAACAUACCUUGGAGCUAGCUUUAACUUCGUAUUAAACCUCUUCACACUCCUCAUUGUUGAUACUUUUAGAUAGACAUAAUCACCCACUUCAAAAGCCAGCUCUCUCCUACGCGUAUCUGCAUAGCUUUUUUAACGAGAUUGAGCAAUUCUCAAGUUAUCCCGAAUAGUUCGCACUUGUUGUUCUGCAUGUCUAAGCACAUCUGUCCCAAACACCUAAGUUUCUCCUUUCUGAUUCCAAAACAAAGGUGUCCUGCACUUCCGACCAUACAGUGCCUCGAAUGGUGCCAUCUUAAGACUUUGCUGAUAGCUAUUGUUGUAGGAGAAUUCUACAUAUGGCAAACUCUUGUCCCAACUAGUUCCAUACUGCAAUGCACAAGCUCUCAACAUAUCUUCUAGUAUCUGAUUGAUCCUCUCAGUGUGUCCAUCUGUCUGUGGAUGAUACGCUGUACUAAAAUUCAACUUUGUUCCCAAAAAAUCAUGCACUACUUUCCAAAAGUGAGAUGUGAAUUGAGUACCCCUAUCUGACACAAUCUUCUUAGGUACCCCAUGCAAACAAACAAUUCUCUCCAUACACAACUCAGCUAGGCAUUCUCCAGUGUACUUAGUUUUAACAGGUAUGAAGUGAGCCACUUUAGUCAAACGAUCUACUAUUACCCAUAUUGAGUCAUACCCUCUCUGUGUACGUGGUAAACCCACUAUAAAAUCCAUACCCACUUCUUCCCACUUCCAUUCCGGAAUCUUCAUUGGUUGCAACAAUCCAGCUAGCCUCCGAUGUUCAACUUUCACUCGCUGACAAGUAUCACACAAAGCAACAUACUCAGCUACAUCUCUCUUUAAACCAUACCACCAGUACUUCUGUUUCAGAUCUAGAUACAUCUUAGUGCUACUAGGAUGAAUGGAAUAUGCUGACUCAUGAGCCUCUCUCAGAAUCAUAUCACGAAAAGCCUUCACUUCAGGAACACAUAUCCUUUUUCCAAACCACAAUACACCAUUGUCAUCUAUUCUGAAUCCUGGUGCUUUUCCUAGUACCACAUUCUAUGCUAUCUCCUUUAGUUUCUCAUCUUCCAUCUAUCCUUUCCAUAUCUCUUCCUCUAGAGUAAGAGUGACCUCAAUUUCCAUAGCAUUUACUACAAUUCCCAAGUUCAAGUAUGCAAAUUCAGCACACAACUCCUCAGAUUCAGGUGUUGCCCGAAGCUCAUUAGCAUAUUUCUUUCUGCUAAGUGCAUCAGCCACGACGUUCGCCUUUCCAGGAUGAUAAUGCACUUCCAAAUCAUAAUCCUUUAUCAAUUCCAACCAUCUUCGUUGCCUCAAGUUCAGAUCUGUCUGGGUGAAGAUAUACUUCAAACUCUUAUGAUCAGUGUAUAUGUCACUCUUAUGCCCAAUCAAAUAGUGUCUCCAAAUCUUCAGUGCAUGAACCACAGCUGCUAAUUCUAGAUCAUGAGUAGGAUAAUUCAGUUCAUGUUUCCUCAACUGUCUAGAUGCAUAAGGAACAACUCUACCUUCUUGCAUAAGAACACAACCCAAACCCCGACGAGAAGCAUCACAAUAGAUAGAGAAAAUCUUACUCAGAUCUGGCAAUACCAACACAGGUGCAGUAGUCAAUCUCUUCUUAAAUUCCUCAAAACUAGCUUGACACUUAUUAGACCAUACAAACUUAGCAUUCUUCUCCAACAGAGCAGUCAUAGGCUUUGCAAGUUUUGAGAACCCUUCAAUGAAUCUACGAUAGUAAUCAGCUAAACCAAGAAAACUGCGAAUUUCACUUACAUCUGUAGGUGGUUUCCAAUUCAGCACAUCUUUCACCUUACUAGGAUCCACUGCAAUACCACCAUUAGAGACAACAUGACCAAGAAAAGAAACUUCUUCCAACCAAAACUCACAUUUACUACGCUUAGCAUAAAGCUUAUGUUCUCUAAGUUUCUGUAAGACCAAUCUCAAAUGCUCAGCAUGUUCUUCCUUGGUUUUAGAGAAUACCAGAAUAUCAUCAAUAAAGACCACCACAAACUUAUCAAGAUACUCCAUAAAUACUUUAUUCAUCAUGUACAUAAAGUAAGCUGGUGCAUUGGUCAAACCAAAAGACAUAACUGUAUACUCAUACAACCCAUACCUUGUUGUAAAAGCUGUCUUUGGUAUAUCUGAAUUUCGAAUCUUCAAUUGAUGAUAACCAGAACGCAAAUCAAUCUUAGAGAACACACAAGCACCUCUUAGCUAAUCAAAUAAGUCAUCAAUCCUAGGCAGUGGGUAUUUAUUCUUGAUAGUGACCGAUAAUCAACGCACAUCCUCUGACUACCAUCCUUCUUAUCAACAAAGAUAACCGGUGCACCCCAUGGUGAUGAACUAGGACGAAUGAACCCUUUAUCUUGCAAUUCCUUAAUUUGUUUCUUAAGUUCUUCAAGUUCAUUAACCCCCAUUCUAUAUGGUCUUUUAGCUAUGGGUGCAGUACCAGGUAGUAGUUCAAUAAUAAAUUCAAUGUCUCGGUCAGGUGGCAUACCUGGCAAUUCAUCUGGAAAGACAUCCAGAAACUCAUCCACUACCAGAUUCUGAGGAUCAACAUCAUUAUUCAGUUGGUUCACCUUAGCUGUGAGUGGUGCUUGCACUGUUACAUCAACACUGAUUCGUUCUCCCUUUGGGGUUGUCAGAGCCACUACUCUCUCCUUGCACUUAAUAUCUGUGUCAUAUUGCUUCAUCCAAUCCAAACCCAAGAUCACAUCUAUGCCUGAUAUUCUCAUAACCAUGGGACUGAUAGGAAAAUCUACCCCCCUUAAAGAAAGAAUUGCUGAGGGGCAACACAAAGAAACUGGUAUAGUCCCACCCGGUGAAUUUACUAGCAUAGGGGUUUUCAUUGCAACUAGUGGAAAGCUAUGAACUCUAACAAAUGCUUGUGAUAUGAAUGUAUGCGAAGCUCCAGAGUCAAAAAGAACGGUAGCGGGAGUAGAAUGGACAUCAAAUAUACCAAUCAUAACUCCAGGUUCCUCCAUAGUUGUCCCUGCAGACACAUGAUUCACUCUCCCAGUGUUGGGUGUUCGAUUGUUCUCCUGGUUGCUAUUUUGCCCUUGGGAGUUCUGUGGGUUGAAGUUCUCUAGACAAUCAUAAGACAUAUGUCCCUCUUUUCCACAGCGGAAACACCUGUCAGGAGUGUUGGGAGCAUUGUUCUUCCUAGGGGUGACUUUAGGAUUCCUUGAUUGAGAUGUCUAUCGACCAUCUUGCUGCUGAUAAGAGUUACGCUGCUGAAAAUGAAAGCGUUGAUUCCCACUCUGCUAUUGAUUCCCACUCAGGCCAGGGAGGGAGUGGGCCUCGGCCAGACCCAGGGGUUGUUUCCCCUUUUUUCUGUUUUUAUUUUCCAAAACAUUUUCCAAAGCAAAUUUUGAACAAAAACAAAAAAUAAAAACAGAAACACACAACAUAAAAUAAAUGCUAUUCUCAGCAUGAAUGCAAAAGCAUGUUGCUACCCUUAUGAUAAAUUUUAUUCUCCAUAAAAUUAUUUAUUUGCUAGAUUCAAAUGCUCACAAAAAUACUUAAAUAAUUCAAAUUAAAUCCUAUUAUUUGAAAAUCAAAUUUUGGGUGUUACAUUAUCCAUUUCUGCAGGGGUUAUCAGGAAAUAAGGAAGAAAGGCCCACACGUCGGGAUUACAUAGAGAUAUCAACGUGCCGCGCAAUUAUCUUACAUGUAGAAGACUCCAGAAGCCACAGAAAGGAAGCGGAGGCCGAACGGAGCCAGGCCCUGGGCGCCCGCCCAAUUGACCUGGGCACCCACCCCCUCCUGGAGUCCAAACAGGACUCUCUUUCGUGAUCAACCUCCACCGACCUAAAGGAUCAAGGAUAACCGUUCAAUCAAUGUUGGUUUGAUCCGACGGCCUUGAUUCACUUGAGGGGACUAUAUAACCAGACCCCCUGGCCCCUGGCGCACCCCUUGAUCAUUAUUCAUUAUUCAUAGACAGAGCAAAAGCUAGGGUUUGGAGAUGAGAGCUCUCCUCUCAUCUCUAAACUAGAGUAGAUCUAGAUAGUAGCAAGAUGGAGAGCGAAGGAGGAUUAGAGGAGAGGCCAGCCUGUCGGUUCUUCCUCCGGUUGUACUUCGUCAUGAUCAAGCUCUAUUCAAGCUUGCUCAUGGGAUGACUCUGGUAAUCUACUUCUAAUUCAUUAUGCAAUUACUAAUUAUGUAUGUUUUGGUUCACAACUCUUUUGUGUACUUCUAAUCUAUAGGACCCUAUAGGUUAGAGUUGUAGUAUAGGUGUAAGCGUAGUGCUUAGACCUAGAUUACUUGUGGAUAUCCCCUGUCUACCUAGAUCGUGUGGUAGGCCGCGUAGGUGACAGUUACGUUCGUCCCCUGUAGUACACCUCUUGUUAGCAGGACGGGUAGGGUUUAUCGGCCUAUGGAUAUGCAUCCUUUGUGGUGUAUUCUUAUCACGUGGUUCGUCCCAGACAUAGACAUACCCCUUUGAAGUAGAGAAACCAUAGUUAUCCUCUCUAUUUUGCUACCAUCGCCCAUAUAUUAGAUUGCUCUACUCUUUAUUCCCAUAUUAUCACUCACUGUUAUCUUACCUUUAAUAUUGUUCUUUUUCAAUUCUACCAUCUUUCCUAUUUAUACUUAUCUAUCUAUCUUGGUUAAGUUAGAGCGUAGUUGGUUCCACCGUUUCCCCGUGGAUACGAUAAAACCUUUAACCGGGUAAAAGCUACAACGGUAUUCAUGCGCUUGCGGAUUAUCUGUGUGCGUAUAAAUACCAUAGUACACUCUAGUGCCAUGCUGGGGAUGACAACCUAGUAUUCAAGUGGUGUUAGCAAGUGUCAACAAUAUUCAUCUUGGAUUUUAACCAAGAUGUCCUUAGCGACUCCCUCCGGGAACCGAAUGGUUUGGUCCGCCAUCUGCAAUCUCAUAAAGGUUGGGAGCAAAACACACCCUAACAGAUUUUCAUGAAUUACCUUGGACAUGAUGUUGACACUUGAUCCAAGGUCAUAGAAGACGUUGUGGAAGAGUUGUUGUCUAAUCUUGCAAGUGAUGGUCGAUAUGCCUGGGUCAUCCUUCUUUGUGAUGAACGGGGUAUCAAGGAGAUAUCCCCAAUUUGAACAGACUAGGGGCUUACCAUACCUCGUAGAGACUAUUUUAAUGGACUCAAGUGGGUCCUCAGGUUUCCCUAGGAUCCUAUCUUGCUCAUAUGAUGGGACAGCUGCAGCUAAUUGAGCUAACUAUGUUUCUAACAUUUUAUUAAAGCUCAAUUGAUUCUUAAUGGCAGAAUUAAAGUUGUCCAUUUUCUCACUAAGGCUUUCUAGGAUCUUGUCAUUAGCCACAAUUCUCUUAUCGAUACUAUUAUUAAUUUUAGUUUGGCCUAGCACAAGAUCUCUAAGAGAAGGUUGGUUACCAAAGGAAUUACUAGAAUUAUUAUUGUAAGCCAUACCUUGGCCUUGGUAGAAGGGGCGUGAACUCCAUUGUUGUUGUUGGGGCCGGUUUGCGUUGUUGAAGUUGUUGUUGAUGUAGUUCACCUCCUCCUGGGUCUCGGGGCAGUUAUUGCCCGAGUGAUCAUCUUGCACCAUGGAUCAGUUUCCACGGCACGAACAACGGCAGGGGUCUGGAUGGCCUCAAUUCCCUUUUUAGAGGAAGAUUCCUCUAUUUUCUUCAUAAGGAGGUUCAUCUUGGUAGAGAGCUUGUCCACCUCAUUGAGGGCGUGGACACCUCUCUUCUUGGGCUAGAGGUGCUCCUCAUUCCAUCCUUGGUUGAUGACCAUAUUUUCAAUGAGGUCCUUGGCAUCCUUGACAUUUUUCUGCAAGAAUGCCCCUCCAGCUGAGUCAUCAAGGUGACUACGGGCCAUGCCGGUCAGCCCGUGGUAGAAACCUUGGAUAAUGAGCCAUUCGUCAUUCCCAUGAUGAGGACAGGCAUGAAUGUACGCAUUGAGAUGUUCCCAUGCUUUAGGAAUCAUCACGUCAGACUGUUGCUGGAAGCUCAAAAUCUUCCCACAUAAGGCACUGGUCUUGCCCGCUGGGAAGAACAUCUUGAGGAAAGCAUUGGCACACUUGUCCCAAGUUGUCACUUCACUCUUGUUGGUGUAGAACCACUGCUUCACCUUCCCCAAGAGUGAAAAUGGAAAAGGCGAAGGCGGAUGGAGUCCGCUGUGACGUUCUUGACGGUAAAAGUGUUGCACACCUCCAAAAAGUGUUGAAGGUGGACAUUGGCAUCCUCAUAUGGCCUCCCACAGAAUGGAUUGGCUUGCACCAUGUUGAUCUAAUAGGUUACCGAUAUGAAUCGGCACGAGGGUGGUCCGAUCUUUACCACAGUAGAUCACACGAACAAGAAUAACUUGCUACGAACAUUGGAUAACUAGCUUUAUACCUGACAAAGGUUAGAUGUGACCAAGCAACGGGGAGAGAGACACCGAAACCGCGAAGACUUCGACUCGAUCUCCGAACAACCAUAGAUCCACAAUCCAGAACUAAUCCACAAAAUAUGCGCAGCCAAACGGAAGCCGUAGAGCACGAAGUAGGGGAACCCAGAGGAAUCACUUCACAAGUCCAUGAAGAACAAGAAAGGACAAAGGUUGAGUAAGGCACUCAGCAGCGCGGCUGCAAUAUCAUGUAGUUUAUCAAAAUGAUCAAAGGUCCCUAAUAGCUUAGAGGUAGGGGAUAUUUAUACUAGUAACAACCAUGCUAGAUUAGUAUGAAAAGGAAAUGGAAUUUCCAAAGAAAGGCAAUGUGAAAGGUCCCCUCGGAAUGGAGUCCCAAAGUGGCUUCGCGUGACUGUUGGCCUCCAGAGCAGUUUCCAAUAAACUGACCUAACAUCUUAUUGGUAAGUCCAAAUGACGAACCACAAAACUCACUAGUGCAGGCCAUGGAAGCUAAACUUCAUGAGUUCUUUGGGUGUGAAAAUAGACUCCAAGAGCUUUCCGGCAAUGUAUGCCAUGCACCAUGAAACGUUGUAGAUUGGUACAGUUUUGCACGGCAAGUUGUACCAACAUUCUGUCACGAUACACUGUUGACCUUCUGAGCAGUCUUGACUAAUCCAAGUAUAACUCUUGAUUGUGAUGUCCAAAUGAGGUGAGACUUGAGGCAUUGGAAAGCAUACUCGACAAGCUUUCCAACAAGUCCUCAUGGGCCUUCAUAGCUUUUGUGAGUAAAAGGUUAUGAAGAUUUCUUUGCACUGGUCCGUUCUUGACUCUACUGGUCCGUUUUGCUAGUAUGUCAGGGACUUGCACUGAUCCAUUCUUCACUUCUUCUAUAUACCUGAGUACCAUCAAGGUACAACACUUAGGUAGUAUAUAAUUCUCAUUAAUAUUAAAAUGUAUCUCACAAAGUAGCGCGUGGACCUCCUGUUGUAGCUUCUUGGCAUGGCUUCUUAUAAGUUGACCUUAAUGUGUAGCAUUUUGACUUGAACAAGUGUCCAUAGCUGGGAUGUCCACAUCAUGAUCAGUGCAGGCUUGAGCUCAAAGGUCGCAUCGCCCAAGUUUAGGUUCGAGCCCGUAGCGACAAAGUCAGCUGACAGGGACAAGAACUCAACGAUGGUCUUUUUGGCCAUGAGUGCUUCAUCUACUCGUGUGGGACUUCCUUCCAUGAGUGGUUCGGUCUCUGAGAUGAACCUUUGAGGAGAAACCUAACGGCGUCUAGUUCUCCUCAACAAUUAAUUGCUCAGGAUCUUUGAUGAAUUUGGCGGCAAUUUAAAACCGCUCAUGCACUGUCUAGAUUAACGAUGACGAGAAACAAGACAAGUGAAGGGUAAGUACCUAACACUAAUGGAUACUUAGAUUUUAGAGUAGACCACGGAUUCCAAUUUAUUAGAGAUUCCUAGUACGACGCUUCCCCAGCAACGGCGCCACAAAAUGCUUGUUGGCAAAUCUUAACGCAUACCGGCUAGAGUAAGAUGUGACAAAUAUCUAGAAAUGGUGACGCCUAACCAACGCUGCUCAAAUGCAAGCCUGGGCUGUUACUAGGAUAGGGUGUGAGGCUACCCUGAGCAACGGCUCCAGAAAUGCUAAGCAACGCUAAACUCUAGCGGUGACGCAAGACGUACAAAGGGUAACUCUGCAAGCGCACAGGUACUGCUGUAGUACUUCAACCGUGGUGAGUAUCUGCACUGUCGUAAUUUAUAGUUCACUCACGGGAAGCGGGCUGAGACUCUCUAAUAAAUAUAUGUAUGGAUAUCCGUAGUUUGUGUCUACUCAAUCUAUGUUCAAUAGUGCUAAUAGGGGGGUAAGAAUAGCAAGAUAGAAUAAUAGAUAAGUCAGAUAAAGGUAAGUAAAGAUAACUCCUAGUGAGCUAGAUAGGUGGGAGGACAAUGAGUGAGUAAGGACUCCUAUGUAUCUAACUCUACUUCUGUGUUCUAAUCCUAAUCAAUGUAAAUGACUCAACUAGACUAGUAUCCAAACAGUCUUGUGCGGUGUGAAGUCGACAGCAAUAGGAGGACGAAACUCCUAUCCAACCGGACCUUUAUCUUAUGGGUGCCUACUGACCGUACCCGACGUGAAUAAACCUACUAGGAAGCCGAGGAGUGUCACGCUUUGCCGCCGCACGCUAACAUGUUUGAUACGGUGGCCUCCACUAAUAAGCGCUAGCCAAAGCACCUCGCUUACACUAGUCUUAUAACUUCAACUAUCACGUAAAUAGCCAAAGCCCCUAAUGGUAGUGGAACACACACAAGGUGUUGAAGACACUAAUCUAACUAAGGCAACUACACUAAUAAGACUAAGACACAACACUACUACAAGUAUAGUAAUGCACUAAGCAAUACUCAAAGUAAAGACUUGAAGUAAAUACUUAGUAAAGUAAAGAAAUAUUAUAUUAAUAUAAAGAAUGUAAUACAAGAGAAAAGGUACAGGAGCUAUACCAGACUCUCCAGAAGGCAGCUUCGGAGACACGAGCUUCGAUCGACACAACUCCAACUCCCACUUUAGACUAGAACACUACACUUGAUCUCCCUAGUGGGAUUUGGAAAUGAAAUGAUAGAUGGAAGAUGUGAGAUGGAGGACCCCUCCUUAUAUAGGGGUGAGAGAGGGGGUGCCACAUCAGCGAUCCGCGUGCUCCUUCCUUCUCCACCAUUGCAUGCAACGACCUCCCAACCGCCUUAGAUGGACGGUUGGAGCAUUUCCACAAAUGAGGAAGGUCAGUGGGAGUGAACCGACUCUAGAUGGGGCGCACAUGUAGGUCGAUCGACCUGGCCUUUGUCUCGCUCUGGGUCCCACUGACCUUCUAGAAGGUCCUUAGGUCGGUGGGAGGUUAGGCCAGGUGGCAUCACUCCAUUGGUCGGUCGGUCGACCGACAUUUGGGGCCCUGGCCUCCUGGUGGUGUCCCCACUUGUCAUGUGAAGUGUUGUCCAAAGUUCAGUCUAGUUGCACACUUGCUUACUUCCAUCUAGGCCUAAGGAUGCAUGUGCUAAGUGUUUGAACCGUUGAGAGCAAGCACACUUGGAUUCAUGGGUUGGGAUUGACUCCUUAGGGUAUGCCAUGGCUCAUGCCAUGGAGGGGAGCCCCUGGUGGGCCCAAACCCCAGUCAGUCAACCUAGGUUAUGGGGCCCACAGGGCUCAUUUCCUUCUUCCCUGCAUUGAACAAGCUAAGAAUACAAGUGGAACUUUAUUAUUGGUAAAUAUGUUCAAGUGAUGCUUAUCUUCCUCCAAUCGAGGACUGUUGACAGGCUUUUGAGUAUAUAGAACUGGGUCUUAUUUCCCGUCAACAGUCUUACCCUACUUGAAUUGAGGCCAAUGUCUGAGUGGUGUUCUGGUUCCACUGACACUGGUCAUUCCAAUUCUACUCAUUGUGAGCAAGAGAGAUGUGGACAUAGUUUUGGAAUGCCAUUUGUUCAUUAUAAUGCUACUGGGUAUAGAAGAACCUAGAAGCAUCAGACCUGUGUCCUUGCUCAAAGCCUUGUUCCUUAUCUUCUGUCCUUUCUCCAUAGGUACUGAAUGAAUGCCUUGGAGCUUCACCUGAGGGACUGUUGAGGGUGUGAGUAAGGGCUAUCCCUACUGACGCUCAUAAUGAAAAGAACCGUACAUAAAUCGAGGCCCUAACUCGACGGCCCCGCUUACACUUGCAAUAAUCAAAGCUCGAUGUCGACCGUAGCCUCGAACAUAGAAAGGGGGUCGUGCGAAUCAAUGUAGGAUCGACUAAACAACAACCCUCGAAUACGGAAGCGGCUGGGGCGAAUCGAUAGGCCUCGAGUGCAAGGACACCGUCCGCUGCAUGUCUCAGGUAUGGGAGCCAGGGCAUUUAAUGCACCUGCCAUGUUCUCACCUAACCCGACAGUCACGGGAAACUUGAUAGGGAGCAAGCACCCGUCCAAUCCCACUUUUCGCAACUUUGUCCCCCAGAUGAGCAGGAGUACGGGCAAGCGCAGUGAGACAGUCGGGAUGUCACAUCACGACCCCCAUUGAAGCGCCCAAAGUCAGUGCACCGAUCACAAAGCCUUGUGCGGUGCCGGACCCUCGAGCGAAUACGUGCCUCCCCAGAGAAGAGUCAGGCGGUGAAAGACAGUGCCUCAACCACUCUAGACGCGACUACUGCCACGACGUACAGGCGUGCCCACGGCUAAGCCAAUCCAAGGCGGCGCACAGGAGCCGAAUUCAGAAGCAUGCACAAUCAUCACCAAAGUACCGAAUAACAAGACAGCUCGAGGCCACGCUGGUACGGAAGCCUCGAGUAGGUCAGCGCACAACGCCCCAAUAGAGCCUUAUUUUAUUACCUACGACAUGUAACAUAGGUCUCCCCUUGAAACUAUAAAAGUGGAGGCUGAGGAAGGAAUAGGCAGAACACCACACGUAGAACAACCACCCAUACAUCACCAUUCUCAGCAACGCUCGCCUGUAUUCACCCCUGUACAAGCACUUAGGUGCAAGAUAAUAGAAAACAUCCCCCGCCCCCCGCUGGACGUAGGGCCUUCUCUUGCCCGGACUAGGAUAAAUCUCUGUGUCUUUCUUGCAUCACCAUCUGGGAGUGGGAACACGCAUACAAGUUUACUCAUUUGUGUGACCCCCCGGGGAAAAACACUGACAGUUGGCGCGCCAGGUAGGGGUCAUGCAUGUUUUUUACCGACUUCCCAUCUCCUUCCAGAUGGCCACUCUCGCUACACCGAUCCCACGCUCCACGGUGAUUUAGUUCGGGAGCCUCGAGUUCAUGUCCACCGGUUUUGGCUACGACAUGAUCCUGCUCUCGUUCAAAUGACCGGGAGGAGCCCGCAUUGCGCCCGCACGAUCGAAGGCCCCAAGACGGCAUCGCCACCAUGCCUCCCCGCUCAAGAACAGGCGUGGACAGCAUCGCCACCGCCCCUCUGCCACUUCACGAUCGUCGACUCAUGUCAGGCGAGCGGUGGCGCAAGAGUCAACAACCCCGCGCGCCGGAUAAGACGGCCCGGCGUUACGAUGACCGCACGACGACAUUGGGCGAUAGCGCACCUCGUGCGCUCUCACCCUCGACGAUGUUGCUCCCACACAGGCUGUUCACUUCAAGGAAAGCGCACCCAUUCGGUCUAGACAACGCCGCGACGUCGCUUGCCAGGGAGAUAUGCUCAAACGCCAAGACUCACGUGGAGUGACCACAGGUGCUCCCACGUGACGCUGGGACGCAGCAACAAGCCCAAGAGACGGCCGAGCUACCGGAUUUUUCCCGGGUACGAAGCCUCUAACGCCUAGGACCAGGGCGAUACACCAUCACCUCGCUCAGACAGCGGCUGGCGGAGGAAGGGCGCGGAUGUUUCUAUGCCACAGAACCAGAUCCUGACUCCAAAUCCGAUAGCUACGACCCUACGAGGGAGUGCUUCAACGUCAGCGGGGAAGUGGCAACCACCGACGGCACGCAAGAUGCCGUUGCCGGUGGCCGAGCCCCCGUAGCAAGAGAAGACCCCAGGAUGCCUGGGAACGACGGACAGGUCAACCCUCCAGCACAGGACGACAGAGUGGCACAACUCGCACAAUUACGGGAACUUAAGGCCAAGAUCGACGAGAACCGAGAACGACUCGCCCAUGUUGAGUGAGCCCUCGAGCAGGACCAACCAAACCCGCACGGUGGAGGCACGCGUGGUCGUGCUCGAGAUGUGUACCGACAGAUCGUCGGGGACACUGAGCCAGAGCCACCCAUUAGCCGUUUCCCUUGGACAGGCCAGAAUAUUGUAGCAGCAACCAUGCUGCUGCGCAACAUGCCCGAGCCUUCAAAUACUCAGGCGCAGCACAUUCGAGACGAGGUACAAUCUCCGCUCCACAUAGCAGCCGCCCAGCAAGCUGAGAGCUCGGCCUCUCGACGACGAGGGGUAGCCACGGAAAAAUGCACCAAACCAGCUUGCAUCAAGAGGGAUGUGUCUGUCAACCAAGGACCGCCCCCACGAGAUAGGAAAACGGCGCCCGUCCAGAAGCGCCUCGUUGACAACCGAGGGUAGCACGACGCCCGGUAUGACAUCAAUGAGCACCGCCGCCACCGACAUAGGGAUGCAGAGGAGCGCAGAUACAGCACCCACCGUGGCAGACGAUACGACAGUGACGAAGACCGAAUGGCCCCAGAACCACCGGGCCCUCGAGUCUUCAGCCGAGCAAUCCGCAGCACGCCGCUGCCAAACCCAUUUUGACCCCCAACCAGCAUUGCCAAAUAUGACGGCGAAACCAAGCUAGAACUGUGGCUGGCGGAUUUCUGGUUAGCAUGCCAGUUGGGAGGCGCUCGAGGGGACGAUUGGGCCAUCAUCCGCCAGUUGCCGCUCUUCCUCUCCGACAUCGCCCGCAGGUGGCUCGAAGAACUCCCCGCCAACCAGAUUCAUGACUGGACCGACUUGGUAUGGGUGUUCGAGGGCAACUUCAAAGGGACCUACAUACGACCCAGCAACUCAUGGGACCUCAGCAUGUGCAAGCAGAAAUCAGGAGAAACUCUCCAAGAGUACGCUCAACGCUUCUUGAAGCAGCGUACUGAGCUCCCGCACAUCCCCGACCACGACGUCAUUCUGGCGUUUGUCUCAGGCACCGCAUGCAGGGACCUGGUACGGGAGCUGGGUCGAAAUCGGCCCCAGACCGUCGACGAACUGAUGGAUAUGGUGGCGAACUACGCUGCGGGCGAGGAAGCGGUCGGUGCUUUCUUUAGCAACGAAGGAAGCAAAGGGAAGGCACCGGUAGACGACGACGAGGGCCCUAGCCGAGGGUCUAAGAAGAACAACAAGAAGAAUAAAGCGCGACCAUUCAAGCGGGAGGUUCUCGAGGACGAUUUCGUCGACGCCGCAGAACGCAAAAAGCCUCGAGGGCCCCUAGAGGGGGCCGUCUUCGACAAGAUGCUAAACGAACCCUACCCUUAUCACAAGGGAGGAGCAAACCACAAGCUCGAAGCCUAUUGCAUGCUAAAAAAGUACUUCGACAGCCUAGGGCUGAAGAAGGAUGACCAAAGGAAAGACAAGAGCGACGAAAAAUGGGAAAACAAGGAAGACGAAGGCUUCCCCACCGUCCAUGAUUGCUACAUGAUCUAUGGUGGACCCUCGACGCAGCUCACCGUGAGGCAGCGCAAGAGGGAGCACCACGAGGUCUUUGCGGCAAGGAUGGCGGUGCCCUAGUACCUCAACUGGUCGAGCACCCCAUCACCUUCAACCGAGACGACCAUCCUGACAGGGUGGUCGCUCCCAGCGUCUACCCACUUGUGAUCGAUCCCAUCGUCGUCAACACCAGGCUCCCGAAGGUAGUGAUGGAUGGCGGCAGCAGCCUGAACAUCAUUUACCUCGAGACCCUCGACCUCCUCAGCAACGAAAGGGCGCAGCUCCAGCUAAGCGCGAGCGGUUUCCAUGGCGUCGUGCCAGGAAAAAAGGCAUUGCCGGUGGGUCGAAUCGGCCUGCUGGUCUGUUUCGGCACGGUGGCCAACUUCAGGAAGGAAACUCUCACCUUUGAAGUGGUGGGAUUUCGCAGCACGUACCACACCAUCAUCAAACGUCCAGGCUACGCCAAUUUCAUGGUUGUCCCCAAUUACACCUACCUGAAGUUGAAGAUGCCCUGGCCCAAGGGAGUCAUCACCGUUAGCUCAUCCUACGAGCACGCAUACGAGUGCGACGUCGAAUGCGCCGAGUAUGGAGAAGUUGUUGAGAAGUCCACCGAAAUCGCCUUGAAGCUCGAAGCCCUUGCCGCUGAGGCCCUAGAGCCCAAACAACACGCGUGCAGCUUCGAACCAGCGGAAGGCACUAAGAAGAUUCCACUCGACCCCAACAGCUCCAACGACAAGGCGCUGACCACGACCCCAAAUAGGAAGCCGUGCUCGUCGACUUUCUCCGUGCAAACACCGAUAUGUUUGCAUGGAGUCCUUCGGACAUGCCUGGUAUACCGAGGGAAGUCGCUGAGCACUCCUUGGAUAUUCGAGCAGGCUCCAAGCCAGUGAAGCAACGAUUGCGUCGCUUCAACGAGGAGAAACGCAAGAUCAUUGGCGAGGAGCUCCAUAAGCUUCUGACGGCUGGAUUCAUCAAGGAGGUUCACCAUCCCGAUUGGUUAGCAAAUCCUAUAUUAGUUAAGAAAAAGAAUUGGAAAAUGAGGAUGUGUGUCGAUUACACGAGUUUGAAUAAAGCAGGUCCAAAAGUUCCCUUUCCUUUACCACGCAUCGACCAAAUUGUUGAUUCUACCGCGGGAUGUGAAACCCUUUCGUUCCUUGAUGCAUAUUCUGGCUACCAUCAAAUAAAGAUGAAAGAGUCCGACCAGCUCGCGACAUCUUUCAUCACGCCUUUUGAGAUGUAUUGUUAUGUGACCAUGCCCUUCGGGCUUCGAAACGCUGGGGCGACAUACCAACGAUGCAUGCUCCACGUGUUCGGCGAACACAUAGGGUCAACGGUCGAGGCAUACAUCGACGACAUCGUCAUCAAAUCGAAAAAGUGAGAUGACCUGAUUCAGGACCUCAAAAUCGCCUUUAGCUGUUUACGCGCUAAUAGAAUCAAGCUCAACCCCGAGAAGUGCGUCUUCGGCGUACCUCGAGGCACACUCCUGGGUUACAUAGUCUCCCAACACGGCAUCGAGGCUAAUCCUGAGAAAGUCUCGGCAGUUGCAAGGAUGGGGCCAAUUCGAGACGUCAAGGGCGUGCAAAAAGUCACGGGUUGCCUGGCGGCACUGAGCCGUUUCAUUUGAAGAUUAGGAGAAAAGGCGUUGCCACUAUAUCGGCUCUUGAAAAAGGCAGAUCAUUUCUCUUGGACCCGUGAGGCCGAGAAAGUCCUCGACAACCUGAAAAAGACGCUGACCACCGCCCCGGUCCUAGUCCCCCCUUAGCCUGCAGAGCUCCUGCUCCUAUACGUCGCAGCAACGACGCAGGUGGUUAGCGCGGCUUUGGUGGUCGAAAGGCCGGAGGAAGGACACUCUCUGCCAGUCCAGCGGCCGGUCUACUUCAUCAGUGAGGUGCUCUCGGAAACCAAGGUACGGUACCCCCAGAUUCAGAAGUUGAUAUAUGUUGUAAUUCUUGCCCGACGCAAGCUGCAGCACUACUUCCUCGGCCACCCGAUCACGGUGGUCUCGUCCUUCCCCUUGGGCGAGAUCAUCCAGAAUCGAGAGGCCACUGGGAGGAUCGCCAAAUGGUCGGUCGAGCUCAUGGGUGAGACCCUCACUUAUGCGCCCCGCAAAGCCAUCAAGUCUCAAGCCCUGGCGGAUUUUGUCGCGGAAUGGAUAGACACUCAGCUCCCCCCGGCUCAGGUUCAAGCAGAGCUAUGGAUGAUGUACUUUGACGGGUCCCUCAUGAAGACAGGAGCUGGGGCAGGCCUACUACUCAUAUCACCCCUUGGCGUCCACAUGAGGUAUGUCAUUAGAAUACACUUCGCCGUGUCCAACAAUGUUGCAGAAUACGAGGCCCUCGUCAACGUGUUAAGGAUCACCGUUGAGCUAGGGGUUCACCGCCUUGAUGUUCGAGGCAACUCUCAGCUAGUCAUCGACCAAGUAAUGAAGGCCUCGAGCUGGCACGACCCGAAAAUGGAGGCAUACUGCAAGGAAGUACGUAGGAUCGAGGACAAAUUCCACGGCCUCGAGCUCGUUCACAUUGCACGAUGAUAUAACGAAGCAGCCGACAAGCUCGCCAAGAUCGCAUCAACUCGAGGCACCGUACCACCCGACGUGCUCUCAAGAGACCUGUAUGAGCCAUCCAUCAACCUGGGCGCGGGGGCUGACAUCGAAACCCCCACUCCAACCGACGCUAUCAAAGCCUUACUAACGGCAGCAGAAGUAAUGGAGGUCGAACAGCGUCCCGGUCGACCGUUCGACUGGCUUACGCUGUUCCUCGAUUGCCUGAUCCAGUGUGAACUACCGGAAGAUCGUUCCGAGGCCCGUCGUAUCGCUCAGCGGGAAAUCGUACGUAACCUACGGUGAAAACGAAGAGCUAUAUCGACGAAGCCCGACAGGGAUCUUGCAGCGCUGCAUCACCAUAGAAGAAGGUGGAAAGCUCCUCGAGGACCUGCACUCGGGGGCUUACGGCCACCAUGCUGCUCCAAAAACCCUUGUAGGGAAUGCCUUCUGACAAGGUUUCUACUGGCCAACGGCCGUAGCUGACGCUAUAGAACUCGUUCGUUCGUGCCAUGGGUGUCAAUUCUAUGCCAAGCAAACCCAUCUCCCUGCUCAUGCUCUCUAGAUAAUCCCCAUCACAAGGCCAUUUGUGGUGUGGGGUCUUGACCUCGUAGGCUCCCUACAGAAAGCAGCGGGAGGAUACACCCAUUUGCUGGUAGCCAUCGACAAAUUCUCCAAAUGGAUCAAGGCCCGACGCAUCACAAACAUCCACUCCGAGCAGGCCGUCCUUUUCUUCACCGACAUUAUCCACCGGUUCAGGAUACCCAACAUCAUUAUCACCGACAACGGCACACAGUUCACCGGCAAAAAGUUCUUGGACUUUCGCGAUCAGCAUCACAUCCGUGUGAACUGGUCCGUGGUAGCUCACCCUCAAUCUAACGGCCAGGUCGAGCAUGCCAACAGCAUGAUUUUGCAAGGUCCUAAACCAAGAAUCUACAACCGGUUGAUGAAAUUCGGCAAGAAUGGGUCGAAGAACUCUCCUCAGUCCUAUGGAGCUUAAGGACGAUGUCAGGCAGAGCCACAAAAUAUACCCCGUUCAUCAUGGUCUAUGGCUCCGAGGCUGUGUUUCCAACAGACCUUGAGUAUGGGUCACCUCGACUUAAGGCCUACAACGUGAAGACAAAUAAGGAGACCUGAGAAAAUGUGGUCGGCCAGCUUGAGGAAGCUCGAGACAUGGCCCUCCUCAACUUUGCAAGAUACCAGCAGAAGCUCCGAUGCUAUCACGACAAGCAUGUGCGCAAAAGGGAUCUGAAUGUGGGCGACCUCGUCCUACGUC